RNAcentral lists this long non-coding RNA (45163 nucleotides) under Triticum aestivum (bread wheat). RNAcentral's name for it is "long non-coding RNA (TAES_LNC024146)". The record is from RNAcentral. Lineage: Eukaryota; Viridiplantae; Streptophyta; Magnoliopsida; Poales; Poaceae.
UUGAUUUUUUAUUAGAAAUGAUGGAUCCCAAUAGGAAAGGAGUUGGACGGCUCAUCAAAAUAACAAGCUAAUAAUCCAGUGACUAAACAGAAUUUUGAAUCCAAAGCAAUUUACCAAAGAUAUUCUUUACAAGCAGAGUCGUACAAUGUUACCAAACACGUUACAUGAAAAGUGUGUUGCGAAGUUUCAAUCAAUCUGGUUUCCAUACACAAACAACAGGAGCAAAUCACAGUUCUUUUCCGCCUCGUCGAUGAGGCACACACCACACAGGCUCUUACCUUUCCCAGCUGACCCAACCAUUAUCGAGUCAUAAUACAUGACAAAGUCACUACAAGGAUGCGGCUUCGUCAAGUGCUGCUCGUUCAAUAUCAGCAACAGUCUUGCUAUUGCUAUUGCGCACGAGUCCUGCUGUUUUCGGCAGCCCUCACCUGGAGGAAGUAUGGAUGUGCCUGCAUUACACCUUUAAAAUUAGAACAGCAACCAUUGUAACUCCAAACAUGACAUCCUCUAAGCAACCGCACUAAUCAAUCUAUCCACAAACCAAAUGCUCAAACACAUCAUGCAGCACCAAGGAGCUGGAGAUGAGAAAAGAAAGUAUAAUUGCAUGGUCAAAUGGACAUUAAGCACAAUUGGCUGGGAGCCACUGAACAACCAGUCGAAAACAGCAAGACUUACCAUAGCUUCACGUGCAGUAAGCCUAUCCUGGUGAUCAUAGCGCAGAAGCUUAUCAAGGAAAUCUAUGGCCUAAAAUGGAGAGGAAAAGGCCUCGUUGAGAAACCAGGAACAGGUUACUGCUAGUAAAGUAUACUUGAGAUAUAUAUGUAUUUUUGACAGACCUCAGGGGAUACUAGAUGCUGGUUGUCUGCAUUGAUAAACUUUGACCAGGGUUUUCUGCUGUGCCUGGGUGUGGAAAUUAUAGAAACUGUAAAUUAGAUGACAAAUAGAGAUCUUGCAUCAAAAUGACUGCUGGGUGGCAAUAUACCUUCCAACAAGGGCUUCAAGCUGAGGGUCAAGCUCAAUUCUGUACUUGUUCAAAUAAGCAUUUAGCCCAUCUGUUCCAAGUACCUGUGAAUACAGGGGUGUGGUCAGACUUUAGCGCUCAUGUCAAGUUCAAACAGGACUACACAGCUAGAGUAAAGCUAGUAAUUACAUGUGAGCAUGAACUCUAUGCCAAAUAACUUAUUUGCACAGAGUAAUCACUCAGUCACUAAGGUAAAUAAUAGCAAAUGAUAUAUGGCAACUCUAAAGAAUAUCAGAUGCCACCAAAACUAAUCCUUUUAUCAGUUAUAACUAUCUUUACAAAGAAUAAAAGGAAUAAACUGAAUAAGCACCUUUGCAAUUUUAACAAGUUGGUCAUGGUUGUCAUGGCCAUAGAAAAAUGGUUCCUUGCGGAAUAUCUGCAACCAACAAUACAUGAUUCAUAAGAUCAUCAACAGUUGAACAAAAAGUCUGAGAUACAAAAGAAAGCUAUGAAUAAUAUCAACUGUACUAUCAUGGCGGUCAUACCAUUCCAGCAAACAUGCAGCCAAGACUCCACAUGUCCAAAGAGUAGUCGUAAUCUUGCAAGUCAACAAGAAGCUCAGGUCCCUUGAAGUACCUAAAUCCCAGUGAAAAAGAAAAUGUCAGCAAAUAUUUUGAAAAUGAUCAUAUGGAAAUAUUUGGAAUAUGCAAGUUACAUAAUGGAGCAUUAACUACUGUACGAAGCAAAUCAUUCACCACAUCACUCAUUCUGUUCAUGUGUAUUAUGACGUUGAGAUUUCUACAAAUGAAAACAAAUAUUACCAAAAGAAAUACCCUUUCCACAUAAACUGUUGAUUUAAAUAAACUAAAUUUUGGCUGUGUAUUGCCUCACAAGUGACCAGAAGAAGACCAAUUGUUGGGAAGUGCACAAGCAAAUAAGGUUAUUUGGUAUCAAUAAGUAGGUUUAAGAUAAUUAAAUAGCAACAACGUAUUUCUAUGUACCUACCUUGAUGCAACACGAACGUUAUACUCCUUUCCAGGAUGGUAGAAUUCAGCAAGGCCCCAGUCUAUUAACCGGAGUUUUCGAAGCUCAUGAUCUAUCAUAACAUUGUGAGGCUUCACAUCUCGGUGCAUAAUGCCUUGUGAAUGGCAGUAAUCCAAAGCCUGCACAUGAAAAUGGAAACUGUGAUAAAUCAUAACUAGAAUAUAGGAUACGAAACAUCUAGGUCCAGCAAUCAAAUUAACAGCAACUUGUCUUGGUCUCCUCAAAAGAGGAAAAACGCUGACUGGUCCGGUUGCUUGUUAGCAUUGAUAAGGGAUUAUUCAUCCCUUACUAUCACAAAUAUCAUCCACGAACACAAGAAAGGGUCCUAGGAAAUGAGUCUAGCCAGAUGUUCAAACUAGACAGUUACACAUGUAAGUAUUUAAUGUAUCUUCAAGGCUUUAUAAGAAGAGCAAAAAAAGUUAUAGAUGUUUUAACAAUCAGUGUUCUUGGCAAUAUUACAUCAACAGAAACUUGGGAAAGAUUCAUACCUUCAGUAACUCAUAGAUAUAGUAGCGAAUGUCAUAAUCUGUCAAUGUCGGAUAUAGCACUUUGAAAUCUGUGUUAUUGAUGUAUUCAAAGAUCAAGCUUGGUGUUUUUGAAUGCUGAUCCCUGACAAUAUCAAGCAGCUUCACAAUAUUUGGACCUCCACAGAGAUUCUGUAGUAUUUUGAUCUCUCUUUUGAUCUGGAUAAGCAUGACAAACGUGAAAAAACUAAAAUCAUAGUUAAACCGUGACCAUAUAAGGCACAGAUAAGUUACCUUCUUCUUCUUCACAGGCUUCAGGAUCUUAAUAACACAUUUCUCAUUAUUGUUGACGUUGAUACCUUCAAAGACUUCACUGUAUUUGCCCCUUCCAACUUUCCGCACAACUUCAUAGUCAUCCUGCUCACUGAUUGAAAAACAUCAUAACAGUCAGAACUCGUCGCUGGAUGUACUGGUCCAUUAGGACAUUCUGUAAUUUAACAAUCACAUGAUAUCUUUGAGAGGGACCAGAAGUAACAAAUAACCACACCAUUCAAACCAAAUGGUAAGUGUAUUAUCCUUGUGGGGGCAGGGAUACUUGCAGCUGGCAUGCUAAAAGUAAUCAGUUUUGAUUGUUCCAGGCAUAGGAUUUUCUUUUCCUGUUUGUAUGAUGGAGAUCGAAGAGAAAACACCUAACUAUUUUAAAGAGAUCUCAUGACACUUUUGGGGUAUUGUUACAUCAAAAUAAAUGAGUACAUAUAUUUUCGUGCAAGACAAAGGUCAAAUUACCCAACUUCUACAAACUGAUGCUUCAUACUUGAGUUCUAUCCUUUUUCAUUAUAUAAAAAUAAGAGGGCAAUAAAACCCCAUGUCAAGCUCAAGGGAGGACAAAAAAAUGUCUGGGUCCCAAUGAGAAGUUACACAAAGGCGUAGCUUGUUACAAUUUCAAAUAUAGUUGCAUAUCACUGUAUUUAUUACACAUAUACUAAUUUACAAAUCAAGGUACUCCAACAGCGUAGAUAGUUCAGUGGAGCCUUAUUUAUCUCAUGUUGCUGAGCAGAAUUAUCAAUUCAACAGAAACAGAACAGGAGUAAAUUCUCGUCAGCAUAGGCCUUAAUGUAAAUGUGGUUUUUACUUGGAACAGCUGCUUUGAGAUUAAAAAUAGGCAUGAUAUGAUAAUUUUUGGAAAAUACAACCAUAUAUUAUCUGAAAAACUAGUGCUAACACGAAAUAAUCAGUCCAGCUCAAUCAACAAAGUGUGACACUAAUAGAGCAGCACACUUUCCAAGAAGGGGAAAACACACGAACUAGCAACUGUUCAAAACAAUAAAAUUAGAACAUAUAGAGGUCAUGGACAGUGUUCGUUCCACUUGGGUGCUGGUGUUGUAGUCCAAGGCAGGUUCAAGUGCCCAAUUUGCCAAUUCAGCAAAAUAUUUGGACAGGGAGAAUAUUGCUGGUAAAUGAGCGCGGGUGACAGAAUCUGACAUUUGGAUUCGGGUGCUCAAUUUGUGGAAAGUUAAUGAAAGUCCACUAAAGAUGUACAAAACUAUGAAUAAUCUGCCAAAGUCCACGUAAGAUGUACAGACGCAUAAUUUCGUACUGAACUACCAAAAGUAUCACGAAACAAUGAGAUCGAGUAAGUGACUACUGAAGUCGGAUAUAUUGUAGCGAAGCAAUCAAGCAACUGCCGGAAUUAUCUGAGCAAGCACAUCUGGCAACUCCCUCUCUCAAUCUACAACACGCGGGCCCUCUCUAACCGCACGGCACAGUCACGCUCGUGCCUGACAAGACCUCCGAAGACGCAUCGAGAAGUCGAAGCGCCAUUGUAUGUAGUCCCUGAACUGCCUCGCAACGAACAGACGAAAAGGAUCCACGACACGCAGAUGCGCCACGGGAACGAAAAGGAAAAAAAAAGAACUUGAGAGUUAGGGCGAGGUUGGCUACGGGCGGAUUCGACUCACCCCCACUGGACGGCGAGGGCCUCAUAAUCCCAGUACUCCUUGGGGCGCACCACGUUAACGUCGGCGUAGACCCUGGCCUUUGACAUGGCUGAAGACGAUCCGGAUCCCGCGGGCGGGCGACGGAUCAGAGAGAUGGGAGGGCUCGGAGGAGUUUGGUGCUUUCUCGGCGGCGCGUCCGUCAAGCGGACAUCGCCGGCGGCGAGAUGGCGCUAGGGUUUCAACAAGUACGAUUGGUUUUCCUGAGAAACAUGUUUUUGGGGAUAUUGUUUUGGGGAUGUAGGUGGGGGGCGUGGGAGAAGCGCGGUAAGUGCAACUGACAGGUGGGUCCAUGGGGUGCGCGAAAGGAGCUCGUGUUGGGACCCAACUGGCAGGUGUAUCGUGGGCCCAAUCCGAGCUAAGUGUCAAAAAAAGCUCUUAUAUAUUAAUAAGGCACCUUCAAGACGGACCACAAACCACCCCAUCCGUCCGGACAGCACUGUCCGGACCGUGGGAGACAUCCAACAUGGGCUGUAUUGGUCCACGAGGCGAUCCGGACGCAGUUUUUAUCGCAAAACGGAGACAAAAGUGAGGAAGCUUUGCGGGAGUCCCGACGCGCGAAACAUAGGAAUCCGAUCCCAGGCCCACCCAAAACAUUUCCGGACCCCGCGACUCCAUCAUCCUCAUUUUCUCUCAUGCCUUCUUUCUCUCUUGUCGUCGCUGCCGCUCCACCACCCCUGCCACCAUGCCACACCCCUGUCGGAAAUCUGCGUCUCCGUCACCUUCAACGCUCCGACAGGCCUCCACCCCGCUUCUCCUCCGUCUUCGUUCAACCCCUGUCCUCCGACCGCCCCGCCAGGUACCAUCCGCUACUGUUAUUCUCACCAUGCCCGACAACUGUUUGAUGUAUCGCCGGAGCUGAAAACAGGUGUCCCUUCUUCUUUCUAGCAAUGGAUUCCGAUUUGGAGUACAUAUACGAGAAGUGUGUUAAGUCGUUCAAUGGCUCGUCAGACGAGGAGUACACCGAUGAGACAGCGAUUAUGCAAGUGGUCCUUUAAGACACGGAGCGUGCGGAGGAGCAUGUUCUCAAUUUCAAGAGCUCGAUCAAGGGUCAUCGAGUGCUCAGCUGCAACACGGUGCGCGGCCAUUUGACACUGAUGGCCGACUACUUUGUCCCUGAUGUCUGGUCCUACGAUGACUACAUCGUGAAGAAGAACGCCAUGGAAAGAUUGGCUUCUCUGGUUACCAGAAGUGCAUGGUCGCACUCCGGAUGCUUGCAUAUGGCACGACCACUGAUUCGUGGGACGAGUAGCUACGGAUUUCUGAGAGCACAUGCGGAGAUGCCAUUGUCAGGUUUGCAACUGCCUUGGUCGAGGUGUUCGGACCUCAGUACCUGAGAGAAACAAUGGUGGCAAAUGCCGAGAGGCUCCUUGCAAUCUCAGAAGCAAGAGGGUGGCCAGGUUUGCUUGGAUCUCUUGACUGCAUGCAUUGAAAAUGGAAGAACUGUCCGAAGGCUUUACAUGGGCAAUAUUAGGGUCAUGUUAACAAUCCCACCAUCAUUCUUGAAGUACUUGCAUCACAUGAUCUUUGGAUUUGGCACGCUUUCUUUGGCAUGCCCGGGUCUAACAAUGCACUGGUACAGCGAGCUGCUAUACAAACGGUUUUUAGCCCCUUUCUGCGACAGCAUUUUAAACCGUCGCCUAGUGAGUGUGGGCGAUAUGGGGUCCUUCCCACACGACCCAGAAACCGUCGGGGAUAGGUAGUAGGAAUGCAUACGUUUUGCAUAACUAAGCGUAUGCGAUGCAGGCAUCUAUCCCAAACGCGUUCUUCACACAAUUGUUUGUGAUAUAUCAAAUAUCCCAAACGCUCCAUCUUUGCUAUUCGUGUGUGCUGGCAUUACCAUUGCACGCGCUAUUAUGUGGUGCAACAUUUACGAUGCGCACUCCGUCACAAACAGUUCAUGAUUGCCAAGCGUGUGCGAUCAGGAGACUAUCACACAUAUUCACUUCUCCCGAACCGUAUGAGAUCUGUAAUUAAGAAGAUUACCUAAUCAUCGUAUGAGUGUCGGAUAGGAUUACGAAACGUCGAACCGUCGUAGUAGUGUCGUACAGGAUAACUAUCGCACACGCUAUUAUGUGGUGCAACGUUUACGAUGCCUACGACAUCCCAAACAGUUCCUGAUUGUAAACCGUGUACGAUAAGGCGACUAUCACAAACAUUUAGUUUGCUCGCACCGUUUGUGAUAUUGUCUGACAUCACACACGCUUCUCAAACGACAACUGUGUGCAUGGUCGCACACGUUUCCUCUCUGCAAACCAUCUCGAAAGUACAUGUAUAUCACACACGUUUGUGCUUUACAGACUGUGUGCGUCGUAACGACCUGUAGAGCAUAUUUCGACCCUAACUAAAUCGCUGCUAUUUAAAAUUGUACCGAAUUUGAAUUUGAAAGUUAGCUAUAACUUUAUUCAUAUCCAUCAGGUUAAACAACCAAUGCAUUAUUCGAUUCACAGAUACACAUGUUCAAGAAUUACAUAAGCACCAAAUAAAGAAUGAUGAACUAGGGUUGUAUACUUGUACUAUUAAACACGGUAAAGAAAGAUGCAAAAGACAUUCUGGUUGCUGAACAAGGUGAAGCGGGCAUAUGCCCGUAUUGUGCUCUCCUCCAUGCAGAAGGCACGCAUGACUCAGUCCAACCCCUUGUGAUGGUCGACCGCCUAUCCUUCACUGUCUUCAUGUCUCAUGAGGACAUCUAGAUAAUCAUUGUGUUGUGGUAGAAAUACUUUAACCUUUGCUUGCCCACCAAUUAUGUAGUUUGAGAGGUAGUCUUGAGUAAACUGCUUCGAGAACCACUGCAAAGGAAAAAGAUUCAUACAUUGUCAUCUAAAACAACUCAUUAUGGGCAGUAAAAAGAAGGCUACAGAGUUCUUAUUUACCUUGUUGCGGUUCACUAUUGUCUUGCAUAAAGUGUAAACAAAUAGUUCGAUUGACAUCUUUUGACCCAUUUUAAUAACAAUGUUUAUCAGUUCCUCUCUUGAAGUUGGUUCAUGAAUAUCUCAUUGCCCCAUACGCAGAAAGGGCCGAAGCACGGAUCUUUACCAAUGACAUGUACCUAAAAGCACCAAGUUAACAUUAGAAGCUAAACAACAUUGCAAUAUGGUGUAGUACAACACUCCCUCCGUCCCAUUAUAUAAGAUCUUAUAGCAUCCAAUAUAUUCACGACGUGGAUGAAUAAACAUCUUAUAUUAUGGGGCGAAGGGAGUUUAUUACAUUUCUACAAAUAUCAGCCAAUUAACUACAGUUAACGGCUGCUGUGUUGUUGGUGUUCUUGCUGCUCUUCUAUGUAUAUCUAGACAUCAUCAGAACAUUAAGGUAACACUCUUGGUUUGAGACUACGUUUGCCAAAGGUUGCCACACCUAAGCUUAGGAAAGUUUGACCAACUUAGGUGUGUGUUUGGUUCAAGCCACACUAUGUUCCCACAUCACAUGCACUCAAAAAGUGUGACAAGAUUCUCUUAGGCGUGCCAACUUGUGGCUCUCGUUUUGAAGAACUAACCCGUUGGCAAGUUUGACAACAUUGUAUGGUAAUGUGUGGCACUCCUAGGCUUAGAACCAAAAAACCCUUCCUUGUUGCUGUGUGGCCUAGGAUUGCAUAUUUAGUCAUUCAGUACAAUGCAUCUUGCUAUGUAGCCUCAGAUAUGUUAGGUAUGGCCCUAGUUAACCUACCGAUAAAUGGGUUAUACAUAUAUUCAGAUAAAUGUCCGAUUGAACGAUUAAUCCCUCAUCAACCCUCGACCUAUAUGGUACCCACUACCAAUAUCCUGAACAAUGAGUAUAAGCCAUGGGAUGAAACUAACCUCGAUGGUAAACAGCAGAUGUUUCCAAUAUUGUCAUGUGCAUGCUAAGCACAACAGGCUAAACAUCAACCAAAUAUAUCCAUGGUAGAGAACAUAAUCUCCGAAUGAUAGCUUCAUGGUGAAGGUUUAAGCACGCUAGUUAAGAAAAGAAGAAGUGGAAAGGUGUGUUAUUAACUACAACAGGCCUAAUAUUUAAAAACAAGCAAACAUAGUCAUUCAAACUUGUAUUGUGCAGGUUUAAGUACACUAGUUAUUGUUAAAUCAAAUGGAAAGGCGUGUUAAAUACUCCCUUCGGUCCUUUUUACUCUGCAUAUAAGAAUUGUCUGAAGUCAAACUUCAUAAAGCUUGACCUUAUUUAUAUGAAAAAAUAUCAACAUCUACCAUGCUAAAGUUAUACAAUAUGAAAAUUUAAGUCAUGACACAUCUAAUGAUAUUGAUUUCAUAUUGUAAAUGUUGGUAUUUUUUCUAUAAAGUUGGUCAAACUUUACGAGGCUUGACUUUAGACAAAUCUUAUAUGCGAACUAAAAAGGGCCGGAGGGAGUACAACAUGCUUAACAACAACCAAAUAUAGUCAUUCAUAGAGCUAUUGUUAAAAUUGGUAUUGAUGAAGUUGAACUGCACCGUUCAUACUAGCACACAUAGAACAUCACAUUGUGAAUAGCUAAAAUAAACAAGGCAUACUACAAACAACCAAAGAUGGCAAUUGAAACUGGACAUAUGCUAACUACAAACAACCGAACAACCAAAAACCAUAGAAAUAAACAUGGUGUAAUGCAAACAACCAAAUAUAGCAAUAAAUAUUGGAUAGGUUCUCACUACAAAAGGAGUUCAAGAAAACAAAUCAUGGAAUUCCCCCAGUGAAGAGGCACGACAAAACAAAUCAUGGGUUUCCUCACUUGUCACAGAUUGGCUCCUCUCGUGGUCGUCGUCGAUAAGGUCUGACUUGGCAGCUGAGGAUCCCAAGCUAGCGUCACAGAACGUGUCCUUCAGAAAUGACAAAAGGGGCUCCAUGGAGAUGAAGGGUGGCAAAUUGUUCAUAAUGAGCCGCAGGAGAUCAGCGGCAGGGCCAUCGAUGAGUUCGACGGCUGUCGAACCCGAGGGAUUGGGGGUGGGCAACUUAACCUGUGACAUUGCCCGCGUCAAGCCAUCACUGUCGAUGACCUCCAUGUCGUAGCCGGUGUCCACUACAUGCAGAAUACUCUAGACUGCUGAUUGAAAGGUUGCGUCCAAUCAUCAUUGUCAGCUUCCUCGGCUGUCACCUCGCCGACGUCGGGCGAAGAGGCCGCGGUAAAGCUCUUUUGGCCCAUUUGCUCCUCGAGCUCCUUGGGAAGCGUAGCCGGGCUUAGGUUGCGACGCUCUGGAGUGGGGGAGGGGUAGGGAUGGGGAUCUGAGGGAAAGGGGGCGUUUCGCAGGCGUCAUCUAAGAAACUCAGGGCGGCGAGGGUAUGUAUAUCGGUGGGUAACCUACACAGGCAGACCAGCACAGGUUGAGGAUGGAGGUGGCGCAGCGGCGACGGCGGUGACCUAGCUAGGUUUCGAGGGAGGGAGGGAGGGGUGGUGUGUAUGUGUGUGAGCGGGGGAUUUGGGGUGUGUGUGUGUGGAGGGGGUCCAAGGUGGUGUUUGAGGAAAUGCCACGGGUACUGAAUAUUUUACUAGGCGGGAGUAAAAUGGUGGGGCUACCGAAAAUUUGGAUCACGGGAUUGAAGUAGAGCGGGGCGGGAGUAACAAACAUCACACACGGUUAAAACUUAAUAAUCGUGUGCUAUCAAACAGAAAAACACUCCAGCCGAGCAGAUAUUUUUGAGAUUUCGAAGGAUGCAGACAGGAGUAAUGUCGGGGCUACUGAAAAUUUGGAUCAACUGAUUGAAGCAGAGAGGGAGUAUCAGACAUCGCACACGGUCCACACAUACUAAUCGUGUGCUAUCAAACAGAAAAACCCUCUAGGCGGGUAGAUAUUUUCGAGAUUGCGAGGGGGUAGAUAUUUUCUAGGGCGGGAGGGAAGCCUCGUGGAGCCCAAUCUACUGUGAUGAUGUGGGUGACGGGGGUAGGGGCGCGACACACGGGUAGUCCCAGGGAUCCGUGUCUAUUGCGUACCCGAUCGCAGACGGUUGUUGCAUCUGACUCGCCUGCUAUUUAUAAAUUUGGCGAAAAAACACGGGAAAGGGUCAGAAUACGAACACACUUGCAUGUUGACCAAAUAUAUGUAUGAAAAGGGUGGUUUGUUGUUUAAAUACCCAAUGCACAACUUUGAUGCGGCACCUGUCGCACAAAGCACACGUUAUUAUUGCUAGCCCCCCCCGGCACACACACUUCGUGUUGGCGGGAGGGGAAUCCUAGCUAUGAAUGCAUCCCCCCAAAUAGCUAGGUCUGACAUCUCACCCUACCGUAACACAAAACCGAAAGGAGUGCAUCAUGGUCAACCCCUCCCUAUUGCUUCCGAUCAAACAUGCAACUUGUGCAGGCCCACAGAUGUGUUCUUGUGGCGUGAGAUGGGUGAGACCAGAUGCGAACCACACCUGCGGGUGGCCCGAUGUGCGUGUGUGUGUGAAAAUGGUAUGGUGUGAUAUUUAAAUAACCAAAUCACAAAUUUGAUGUGGCACAUGUGUGUCGCAAAUUAACCGGACAUCCCUGACCCCACGGAGGUUCAUCUAGUGCGAAGUAGUACUAUGUGCCCCCCACACACACACUUUGAGUCGGUGGGAGGGGGCAUCUCACCAAGGCGUAUUGUAACACUGACUAAGAAGAAUCACCACCUUGGUCGUAUAACCUCUCUCGUUGUUGGGUCAAAGCCAUGCAUGGACGUCCACACGCGGCCCCACAAAUAGGCUAGCUUGUCGCUAAUAACCACGCGAGGGAGUGCCUGAAGACAACCACUACGUGCAUGUGGCCCAAACAUAUGUAUGAAGUGUUAUGUGGUGUUUGAAUAUACCCAAUGCACAACCUUGAUGUGGCACUAUGCUUUUGGAACCGGAAAGUCCCCACACGGAGCGAGGGUUCACGACGCUUAUACUAUAUAUAUAGGGAUUCAUGUGUAUGCAUGCCCUCAAACUUAGGUCUCGAAUCUCACCAUGAUCGACAUACGACUAUACAAUAACGUGAACCAAGAGAAGAAGAAUCCACCCUGGUAACCUCUCUCGUGUUGUUGGUCGAAGUGAUGGAUGUCCACGCGGGCCCACGAAUAUAUAGGCCGUUGAUGAUAACCAAGCGAGGGAGAGUGUCCAAAGACAACCACUGCAUGCAUGUGCCCCAAACAUAUGUAUGGACAUGCGUGAUGGAUGCAUAUAUGUUUGAAUACCAAAAGCACAACAUUUUGAUGUGGCGCAUGCAUGCGUCGAAAAUUGCACAGUCCCCACAUAGAUUUGGUUCAUGGCGCGUCGUGUGCUCGUCCUCCCCCCACUUCGAUCCGGUGGGAGGGAUUCAUGCGUACACAUGCGCUCAAAGUAUAAUACGUUAUCUCUCACAUCAUGACAUACAUGUACCGUACCAUAUAAGGCGAACCAAAAUUUAAUCCCCUCCUAAUUAUAAGUCAAAAUAACCUCUAUUGUUGUCGGUCAAAGUGAUUGACGAAGCGGGCACACACAGAUGGACGAAGCAUCUCGCCGAUAACCCCGUGAGUGAGUGCUAGAGGACAACCACCAUCGCUUGCAUGUGGGCCAAACACAUGUAUGGAGAUGUGUGGUUGUGAUGUUUGAAUACCUAAUAUAUAUGCAGAACUUUUGAUGUUGCACCUGCCUCGAAAACCUUAAAUUCCCCCACACGAAGCGAGGUUCAUGAUGUACAGUAUAUGCUGGCCCCCCUCCCCUCUUCGACGCGUAAUAUAUACUCCUACAUACCGUAACACAACCCGGAAAUCAUCCUGCUUGUUCAGAAAAUUACCUUUCUCAUUGUGUCAUAUAUUAGAUGGACGACGACCUCGUGGGCCCAUGGAGGGAAGCGUCGCAGGAGAGUGAGUGACAAUCAUCGUCUGCAGGUGGCCCAAGGUGUUGGUGAUGUUUUAAUACCCAAUAUGCACAACUUCUUUGUGGCACCUACCUCAAAAACCGAAAAGUCCCCACACAGAGCGAGAUCGUUCAUGACGUGUGUGUAGCAUGUGCUGCCCCCUCCUCCCCUCUUCAACGCAUACUAUAUACUCCUACCGCAACACAACCCAAAAAGAAACCUCCUUGUUGGUCAAAUUAACCUCUCUUGUUGGGUCAAAGUGAUGGAGGACAACCUCGCGGGCCCACGGAUGGAAGCAUCGCACGCGAGUGACUGUCCUAUAUGAUGCGUAGUAUAUUGACGCGUACUAUAUAUACUCCUACCGUACAUAACAAAAACCAAAAAAAAUGACCAUCCUUGUUGGUCAAAUUAACCUCUCUCACCGCAGGUCAUAGUGCUGGAGGUUGACCUCGCGGGCCCACAGAGAGAGAUCACACGCGAGUGAGUGUCCUAGGACCACCGCGUGCAUGUGGCCCAAAGAUGCAUGUCAAACUUUUUCUGCAGCGAAAAUGCGACCAAAGGAGUUUAGUGUUAAAAAUUGAAAAAAUAUAUAGAUAACAUUUGUCCGUUUUUAUACAUGAUUGAUUUCCUAGGGAUUUAAUGUGCAAAAAUCAAAUUUUAUCUACAUGAGACCCGUGAUAGUGCACCAAAAUGGAUUGGAAAAUCAUAUGGGUAUGUGUCCCUGGGUGCAUGUUUAGUCCCCAUGCAAGAAAUUUCUAACAUCAAGAAUCUUGAUUUGAAAAUCCAGUAAAUCCAAAACUAAGUUUAAAUUCAUGAAACUUAUCAUGGUGUCAUAUGGACACCAAUAGACUGUGAUAUUAUAUUUAUUUUCCAAAUUUGAGACAAUUUUGGUAUAAUCUUCUUACAGACGUCAAGUCUUUUUUUCUGCUUUAUCCUUCUCUCAAUCAAAGAAAGGGAACGCAGAUGUUCUGUCGCCCUCUCUUCGUAUGCCACCAGCCUUCCUCUCAAAACCAUAUUGAUCCGAUCUUGCGCAGAUAGGUAGGGACGAUCCCUCCAAUAACCAGGAAAUUAUCAAUAAUUAUCAAUCAAUAUCGCAAACAGACUCUUUAUUCGAACCGUGUGCGUUAGACCAACAUUGUAUGUGUCGUGCUUCGAUUAAGCAAUAAAGCGGCAGAAUUAAUGAUCAAAAAGGAAAAAUCAAUAUAAUACGUGCCGCCACGCGUCCCGUGUGCCGUACAAGCAUGCGUGAGUUGACGAGACGCAUGCUAGUAGUCCACCGCGCAGGCAGACCGGGAGGCCGAGGCUUGCGCGUGUUCGCUACGUAGUGUCACCUGGGGGCGUGCUAAUAGCUGUGUGAAAUGACGGUAGGCAUGCCAGCAAUCCGCUAUGCAGGCUCACCGGGAGGCGAGCCAGCCCUUUGACCGCCGCCCUCCUCUCUCCCACUGCUCCAUAUUAAUGACGCGCCCGAUCCGCUGGUCAUAAUAGGCGGCCGCACCCCUCAUCCACAGUUGUCACCGCCGCAUGGAGUGUAUUAGGAUUUUGUCGAAGCGCACCAUCGGAGGGAGUGGCGACGCCGGGGCUGGUGAAGCACCCGCGCAACGCAUGAAGCUGUGCACAGAGGUUGUUGUUGCCGCCGACGAGGUCUCACGCGGGCAGCAGCGCAACCUUGACUUCGUCGCCGUCGUCGUGCCUCCCCAGCCGAAGCCGGAGGUCCACAGCUACUCCGACAAUGACUCCGACGGAAAACUAGUUAGUCCCCCCUUCUUUUAUUGGGAAUAGAAAUCCUUGGUUAUGUUCACCUAAUCCAUGAAAUCAGAGUAAGAUUCGUUAGAUCCGUGUAGUGUAUUGAUUGUUUGAAUGAUAUCUAUGGUUAGUGAUUAAUUGUUUGUUCUGUACAAAUGAUUUUUUUGCUAAUAAUCCGACUAGGGUUAGCGUGCAUGCUAAUAAUUCGUAGCCAGAUCUUGAGAAUUGAUUUUGAAUGUCCUACAUGUAUGUUUUUUUUUCUUUUUUCAGAUUGGCAUGUACACAGAUGAGGCUCCGGCCAGCGGCACCGCCGGCUGUAGAUCCUGCAGCGGGCAGCACGGGCAGAAGCAGCCACACCCUGGAUACGAGGAACCCGUAGAAUAUCGAGCGGACCGCAUCAGCGAUCUCCCGGACGCCAUCCUUAGGGAGAUCAUCUUCCUUCUCCCCACCAAGGAUGGCUGCCGCACACAGGUCCUCGCAUCUCGUUGGCGCACUCUGUGGCGCGGCGCGCCUCUUAAUCUCGACUAUCACUGGCUAUCUAUCCUUCAUGAUUUUGAACUCCACGGAGUCAUCAUCUCCUCCCACCAGGGCUCCGUUCAAUGCCUAUGCAUCCUGACAUGCUGCCUGCUGCACAUACCCUACACGAUGGACGCAUGGCUGACAUCCCGUCAAUUAAAAAAACUCCAGCAUCUUGAGUUCUACCAUUACUAUGCAAAUAGCUUCCCCCCAAGCGUUGUAGCUUUGCCCUCACCACCGAUGUCCAUCUCAUGGUUUUCCUCCUCUCUCCACACCACCACCUUGGCCCAGUGUCAUAUAGUAGACAAUCUGGUACAAAUGCUUCAACUCUCACUGCUAAAAAAACUCGCGCUUGUGGUGAUCAAUCUGUCGGAGGCCUCACUGCACAACAUCAUCCACUCCUGCUGCCCUGCCCUGGAGCGCUUCUGCUUGUUUUUGGAAAAGAAACAUGUAUCCGUUGUCUCCAAAUAAAGUCGCCUCACCUUGUAAGCAUUGGAAUUUGCUUUAAAGGAGAGGAGCUCAUCACCAAAGAUGCCCCUUCACUCCAAAGGUUGCUCCUUGAUUAUUGGUGUGCCCUUCGCAAAUAACUGUGGUCUCUGCGCCUAAACUGGAGACCUUGGGUGUAAUUCCUGAUUCGCUUGAAGGUUACAAGAUGGUGGUUGGCUCCACACUUAUUCAGGCACUGUAUAUUAUCAUCAACACUUUUGUAAUCAUAAGCUGCAUUUUUCAUUUGUGUGCAUAAGUUUUAUAUCAUCAACACUUUUGUAAUCAUAAGCUGCAUUUUUCAUUUGUGCGCAUAAGUUUUAUAUCAUCUUGGAGUACACUUUUGGUACUAAUAUUAUGUUCUAUGCUCAAUGAGAGUUUGUCCAUGGAUACCCUAUCAAUGGUGCUGGGUUUUGUCAAGACCUUAUGUAUCAGUAUGUGGUGUUUUGAUUUGAACACGUUUAUCGGCUUACUGCGAUGCUUUCCAUGUCUGGAGAAUUUGUAUAUACAAGUGAUGAUUUCAAGCACAUCGAAAGCCCGUAUAUAAUUUACUAGAAUUAAUCGUUCAGUUGUUGCUCUUUCAACAUACUCUUUUUUUAGAAAUUAACUGUUUUCAGUCUUCAUGUCUAUUUAGGCAGAAGCACAUGGACAAAACGGUAUAACCAAUCGGUGGAAUAAGAAGCACCAGGAUUUUCUCAGUUCUCAUGACAUUCGUUUGAGGACAAUAAUGCUAGAAGGAUAUGCAUCCAACCAUGCAAACACUAGCUUUGUCACAUUCUUCCUGUUGAAUGCGAGGGUACUAUUGUCCAUGAGGAUUAAGGUUUUUAACAAAAACAUUCUCAUGGAUGGACACGUUGAACAGCAUAAAAAGAAGUUUCAGGUGGACAAAAGGGCUUCUGAACGUUCUCGACUUCUAUUUACAACAACUUGUCUUCAUGUACUAGUAGAUUUUCUCGACCAGGAUCUUGAUUUUAUGGAUCAUACCGACCCAUUUGAUUGUGAUUGCCGAAAACUUUGGUUAAGUUAGAUGUUAUUGUCCCGUUCAAUCUGGAUUUUGUGUAAACCUGAUGAAAUUAAUCAUCGUGCUUUUGUACCUUUUUGUAAGCUGGAGUUGGAUAUCGUUGUCCUUUUCAACUCGGCUUUGACCCAUAUUUUCUUUCAUACAAACCAGAGCUUCUAUCAAGAAGCCUCAUGUUCAAGGUUGUCAGAAUCGUGAUUUUGAAUCGGAUCGGAGCUUUGAUGGUAGGAUUGCAAAUCAUAGAAUCUUCACUAUUAAGAUCGUAGAAACGUAGAUUCUAAAAACUAAAAUCAUAGAAACAUAGGGGUUAGUUUGGAUCGUAAAGUCGUAGAAUCGUACAACAAAAUCGUGAUUCUGAUAGCCUUGCUCAUGGUUCCGAGAGGGAACUUGGUCACCUGAUCUGUGUGCGAAACGACAUACGCUAUCUCUUCCCGCCUUGAUUUAUUUUACAGAGGCAACAUGCAACUGUACUAAAAAUAUGAAAUUAUUCAGGGUUUGUUUCGCUAUUUUAUACAUUGAUUUUCCUAGGUAUUUUUAAAAAAUACCCACCACGUUAUUAUUGCAAAUGGUCAUAUUUGUCCAGCCAUGGGCGUUCAACUAACCAUUUACUACCGCGGGCAGUUGUUUGAUUAGACGGGACGACUGCGAGCAGUCUGCCGCGCACGCUCACUGUACCGGGAAGCGAGCCGCGAGCGCUGCAAUUUAUUGCUGGUUUUGGACUUUUGUUUUGGCCGCCUCGGGAAGGUAUGUAGAACAGUCCUCCAUUCUCAUCUACAAGCACCGCAUCCAAGGAUUGCCGCCUGUUGCCAGAUGGAGGACGAGCUGGCCAACAAGCGGGGGCGGGUCGAGCCAGAACCGCAAGAGCCUUCGGCAAACAUGGACUUCAUCAGCAGCCUCCCUGACGAGAUGUUGGUAACCAUCAUAUCCCAUCUCCCCAUCAAAUCUGGCGUGCGGACCACUGUCUUCUCGCGGAGGUGGUGCCCCCUCUGGCACUCCACCCCCUGGACCUCAUCAUCGACGACGAGUUCUAUAGUGGGAGCGGCAACGCCUGGACGCAUUGUCCCACGUCCUCGCCACGCACCCUGGGCCGGUUAGAUGCCUUGCUAUCGACAGGUUCAGUCCCCACUGCAAGGCCGAACCCAGGUUUCACUACUAGUUCCUAUCCCCAGCCCUGGAUCGGCUUGAGGAGCUCAGCUUUCAUGUUGGACGUCCGCGCUCGCUGCCGCCGUCCGCGCUCCACCUCGCGCCCAUGCUGCACCGCACUACAUUCACGCAGUGCAUUUUCCCCCGGAUUGAUGCCGUGCGCGCUCUUCAUCUCCCUAAACUUAAGCACCUUGAGCUCAUGGUCGUCCGCAUCUCGAAGAAGGAUUUGGAGCGCCUACUCGUCGGCUGUACAUCGCUCGAGUACCUUCGUCUUCAGGCGAUGGAUGGGUUCAGUAGCCUCCACAUCACCUCGACGAAUGUCCGUGCGAUUUAUGUGCAUUGCUGGCACCGCCCAAGGCUGUCAGUUGAAGUGUUUCAUGAUACGGUCAUUGAGAAUGCGCCUUUCCUCGAGAGAUUGUAUGUACUUGAUAAAUUAGGUCCAACAAGAAUCAGGGUCAUUCACGCACCGAAAUGACAGUUUGGGCUAUUCGUGUGCUGAAUUCAACGAACUUGUUACUAGAUCAUUAUCCUUUCAGGUACAACAGUCGUCUUCUUCUCCUUCUUAUAUAUCAUCAGACAUCACAUUUUGUCUAAUUUUUGUUGAUCUAUAUGUUCGCCUGUCAUCCAGAAAAUGAUUGCCACAAGCUUGACCCGUCCUCUACGCACAGUGAAGAUCCUGGCAUUACAAUCUGUCAGCCCCGAUCUGGAUGAAGUUGUUAGAUUCCUUAGAUGUUUUCCUUGCACAAAGAAGCUAUACAUCGAGGUGAUGCUCAUUUCCUGUUAAUUGUUAACCACAACGGAGCUCAAUUUGUUGUUACUUUUACCCAUGAUUACAAAGACAAAAGUAGAAUGAUUUCUAAAGGAAAUUUGGAGGAUUUCGAUACAUAUUUUUUUUAGAUGUUAAUUAUGAAAGAUUGAAGGUGGCAUUUUCACUCUUUUCGUGUAUUUUAUAAAUCCUGCAAAUCAAAGAGGCCCGAAGUGUUCAAAUCUGUAGCUAGGCACUAAUAUGUCGUUUUCGUUUGCAGAUACUAGCAGGCCCGAAAAGUGGAAAAUGUUGGGGAAUAUAACAAUCCCAUUGAAUGCCUUGAUCUUCAUCUCACAUAAAUCACUUUAAACGAGUAUCGAGGCACCACACUAGAAAUUAAAUUCACCAGGUUCUUUGUUGAGAAAGCAAGGUUGCUCAAGGUAAUGAGGUUUGCCCUAUAUUUACUGCACAGAAGUGAAUGGAUUGCUAAAGAGCGCAGGUGUCUACAGCUGAAUGGAAAAGGCUCUCCGGGAGCUGAAUUUCAGCUUGUAACUUCAUAUGAAAGAUUAUUCGGAAGUCACUGCAUCAAGCCGCUAUAUGACUUCUCGGUGGCUGAUCCUUUCGUAGAAAUAAUGUAUGAAAAAGAUUCUGAAGAAGAUGAAUUUUAUUUGUCAGAAUAGUUUGAACCUUGUAAUCUUUGAAUUUGGGCUUGUAAUGCUGGAAUUUGAACCUUGUAAUAUUUAUGGUAUUUGUUAUAUAACGUAGUUGGAUGUUUAAUUUGGUUUUGCAAUCAUGUCCUCUUAUAAGUAUAUUUAUGGUAUUCGUAAUUGGAGUAUGUUGUUCUUCUGUAGACAGAGCAUAGAUGUAGUGCAAACAGAGCAUAUCACAUCACAUGCGGACAACAGUAGGGAACCAGUCGGUGAUAAAUUCAUCAAUCGAAGACGGUUGUACCAGCAAGCGUUUUCCCACAACACACACGGCUUAUUCCAUCACAAAUAGCUCGGAUGGAUCAACUGUAUGCCACGUAUCGCACACGCAACUCUAAUCUGAAUCGUGCUUGAUGUCUCCGCCAUCGCUCGCACAGUUCGUCUUAUUUGCCACGUAUCACUGUGUCAGCCUCUGCUCGCGUCCCUCGGCGCGAUCUGCUCGUCGUUAGGCGCCGCGGCGCGCUCUGCUCGCGUACCUACACGGGCUCGGCUUGUCGACAACUUUUCCUUCCGUGUUCAACUGAUAUAUGGAUAUAUAUGGUUUCUCGCCAUUGAGGCGGUUGCGGAGCGUUCUGCUCGCGUCCCUCCACGUGCGCUCUGCCAACAGUUGGGGCCGGAGCACGAUCAUGUUGGGGGCCCCCAUAUGCAUGCGGUUGCACCGUGCGCGUCGCCACGACGCAGUUAUGUGCGACACGAUGGAGUUACGCGCUGCAACUAGAACUGCCAUCCGGGCGUGCCGAUAUUCCAGGCCGUCCGGCUUCCCCAUUAAUUCCCGCGGCCAUUAUAACCUUAGUCUCUUCAACCUUUCGAUCGCGCCCCACAACACAACAAGCACACCCACGACGACACAUACAGAGAGGAUAUCUAGCGGUGCUCCAAUAGAGUUCAGCGAGCAUAAAGUGGAGACCCACACGAGGGAGACGAAUCUCUCGGUGGAGGACUACAUCAACACCGUGGAGCAGUUGCUUGCUCGAGACAAGUACAAGGUGGUCGGCAUCGACCUCCAGUACACCGGCGGUCAUCCCAGCAAAGAUCAGAAGGUUGUCGUCGCCCAGUUGUGUGCGCCAUCAUGUCCUCAUCUACCACUACUGCAUGGCCAUAGAGCCUUGCGACCGUUUCGCCAGGUUUAUCAACAACAUUGACUACAAGUUCGCUACGGUGAAAACCUCUGACGAUGUAAAAGCGCUCAUGGUUACGGGCUUAGCCUGCAAGAACCUUGUCGAAAUCCGUGAACACUACAGGGUCCGGGGCAGUACGGAGAAGGACUCCCUGGUUGAACUCGCCUUGGCCAUCAUCGACCCCUACUACGAAAAGAUGAAGCAAGAUGCCAACAGAACACGUCCCGUAUCCUGGCUACGGGCCUGGAUGCGGCAACUAGAUGAACCUCACCUCAGGUUCGUGGCCAAGAGUGCGUACACAUGCUACGAGAUGUACAGGCGGAUCGUUGGCAUGAGGAAGUGCCUCCUUCCCAAAAUUGACGAGGCCGGAUUGGUACACAAGCAGAGCAGUAGCGACAAGCGUCACAAGAAGUAGAUGAUGAUCAUAUGAUCGUUUAUCCUAGUUAAUUAUGCAUGUAAUAUAUAAUUUACUUUGGUGUGUGGAAAUGUCACGUGUGUAGUAGCCACCUAUGUAAUUAUGCAUGUAAUAGUUUACUUUGGUGUGUGCAAGUGUCAUGUGUGUAGUAGCCACCUAUGUAAUUGGAUGUUAAUUUGGUUAUGCAACCAUGUCCUUAUAAGUGUGUGUGUGUAUGUGUGUGUAUAUGAUGGUGUUCUGUAUGCAAUCACAUCGCACAACACACAUGUCUUAUUAGCAACAAUUGUCUAUGUUAUUAUCGGUCUUCGCACACAUUUCUGAUUACAAACAUGUUUGUCGCAUAUCAAACACAUCUAGUUAAGUUGAACCAUUUUUGUUCUCUUGGCUCAACGCAAACAGUUCAUCCGAGUGAACUGUUUGCCCUCUAUCGCACACACCUUGAUCUGGCUGACCGUUUCUUUUGUAUUGCCUAAUCACAACACUACAAAAAAAGACACAUCCGUGACAUUUUGGGCCGAACAAUUUUUUUCCUGUCAUGCUUAUGACACUGACAAAACCCGGUAUCAUCAUAGAUGUGGUGGGCUCCUACUUCUAUGACAAAAAAUCAUGAUAGAAAAUUGGUUUUCGUCCUGUGCGGGCUGGAGACGCAGCUGCAUGACAUUCUUUGGGCCGUCCAUGACGGAAAAAACCAUGGUAGAAGCGAGAGCGAGGAAAAUAUCGGGGAGUUCCCGGUUACUGUUGGGGAUAUAACUACUGAGUAUAAACCACCCGGGAGGGGCCGGGUUAUGCUCAUGGUGAUUUACCAGCAUUGAAGCCCAUGAAGACAUAGAAGAUGGCGACUUACGAAGGAGACUUAAUAAGAAGGCCCAAAACCCAAAGGCGGGUUAGGGCCCAUAGAUGUAAACCGCCGUGGGUGUAUGACUUGUAUUAUAAGAUAGGAAAGAGUGGAUACCGAGCCGGACACGUUUAUGAGCCGGCCGGGACUCUGUGAACCACCGGGCAUCAACCUGUGUAUAUAAAGGGACGACCCGGCGGCGGUUUAGGGACAAGAAACAACAGAUCGAGAGCCAGGCCAAGCGUAUUCGCUCCCUGGUCAUCGAAACCCUAGCAAUACCACCUCACACUAGAUUAGGCCUUUACCUUCACCGCAAGGGGCCGAACCAGUAUAAAUCCCUGCGUCAUUUGUCUCGAUUAACCCCUCUAAGCUAAUCUCAUUGCGAUGGCUUCACGACUAAGUCCUCACACUAGGACAUCUGCGUGACAAACCCACGACAGUUGGCGCCCACCGUGGGGCUAUCACACGAUGGUUUCAAGUUCUUAGAGGGCAACUUCGAAGGGAUCAAGGGAUACGCCAUGGGCCGGAUGACCAAGAGUCGUCGCGGCAAGCUCUACAUCGACGACGCAGGCUGGGGCCCCGAGGCCGGCUCAAUUGAGUACGGGUACCGGGUCCCCUUUGGCGGAAUUCACGUCUUCAUUGGCAAGAUCGGCGAGCCGGGCCCUGAGCCGGACAUCUGCACCGACAUCAUCGAGACGGCUCAACGUGCAAGACCCGCCCGAGUACAGCCCGCCAUGAAUCGUGCCUUCGUGGGAUUCAUCCAUGGAGCGGAAUCUGAGGAUAGAUCGGCAUCUGGUGACGAGACAGUUGUCUAUUCUGAGGGUGAGUCAUCUACCGGUGAGACCGAGUCAUUGUAUCAACUGCAAGACGGCCGGCCUGGGGGCUGUUCCGAUGGUGACAGUAUUCUGGACCCCUAUAAGCCGCCGAACAGGGUUGCGAUCUUCAUGGCCGGAACACAGCCAGUGCAGCACUCAUUCAACUGCCGCAGAGAUGAUUUCCAGAUCAGCAGCGGCAACGGCUGCCGGGGCAGGAGGCCCUGUGCGCCCGUCGGCUCAGGUCUUAACCGAUUUGUUGGAUAAGCUGACAACAUUGUUAACAACGAUGGUUAAUCCGGUAGAUCAGGAUCAGCAUAACGCGGCGGUUGCAAAGUUGCGGGAUGAGAUAGCACAGGCCAAGGAAGAGCUGAACGCAGAAAACACUAGGAUGGCCGUGGAGCGGACCGCUUUGGAUGCUCAGGCGCAGCGGAUUCAAUCAGAGUCUUUCCGGCUCAUGCUAGAUUAGAACGCUUCAAAUGACGUCAAGAGGAGGAGGCAUCAGACUCGUCUGCCUCCGGUUUACGAGGCAAGAAAUCUCUUUAACAAGCCCGGAGCAGGGACCAGUAACCAGCCAGUGGUAAACCGGGUUGAAACGCCUGGAACAGGAGCGCCGGUUCAGCCGCUCAUGACGGACCCGCCUCGUCAAGACAAUAUCCCACCGCAGCACAUGCCGACGCCACCGGGUCAUUAUUCAAACCCCUUGGAUAACAUGAUCGCCGCCGCAUCACGAUUGGCAGCUCUCCCAGUUGAAGGCGAGUCUCCAACAUCAGUUGAGACGCGAAGGGCUAGAGAGCUUCUUCAGACGGCAUUGGUUCAGCAGCAGGCUUAUUCUUACAGUCGUGAGAGGAUUCAUUCAACCCCUCGCCCAAGCCGGAGUUAUCGUAGGCAUAUUGAGGAACCGGCCAUGUCAAGCAGUGGACGGAACCAUAACCCGCCCCGUGGACAUAACCCGGCAGGUGGUGGGGUUAAUGCCCAGAACGUCGUGGAUCAAGGAAGAGCGCGUCAAGAGGCUGAGCUGGCGGCUCAGUAUACGGCUCGUCAGCAUUCCCCGGUUCGUCCGACAACUUCGGUGGAGACAGGUGUGACCUUCAGGACUCUAGGAGUGCCGUGUUUGGUGCCGGCUUUGCAUAACGUACGUUUGCCCAAGAAUUUCAAGGGUCCCCGUAAGGUGCCCAACUACACUGCCGAUUUACCUCCUGAAACAUGGGUUGAGAGUUAUGAAAUGGCGAUGGAACCGUUGGAUGUUGACGAUGCUGCAUGUGCUAAGUACUUCACCAUGAUGUUGGAAGGGACAGCUCGUACUUGGUUGAAGGGGUUGCCAGCCAACUCCAUUGGGUCAUGGGCCGAGUUAAAAGCCCGGUUUAUCCAGAAUUUUAAAGAUACGUGCAAGCAACCCAUGUCAAUCGUGGAUUUGGCCUCCUGUGUCCAAGAAGAAGGUGAGUCGACAACCCAUUGGGUGCGCCGGAUUUCAACAAUCCUGCACUCGUCGGAUCGCAUCAAUGCCGACUCAGCAGUCUUAAUGUUGGAGAAGAAUUGUCAUUUCACGCCCCUGAAGCAGAAAUUAGGGCGGCUCAAACGUCACUGGAAUGACAUGCGGACACUCAUGGCGGCUCUGGUUAAGUAUGCUGACUCUGAUGGUACCAAGGACCCCGAGUCUGAUGAUGAAAAGCCGGGAAAGGGAAAGAAGAGCAGUAGCACCAGGGGGCAGCAGCAUACCCCGGCGAGCCAUGGAAACAACGGUAGGUGCAAAACUGAUAAUAGUUUGGACUUUGUGGCUAACACCAAUACGCAGAAUAAUGGUCAACGUCAUAAGGGUAAACCGCCCCCACGGACUGGAGGGUCAGGCUUCAAUCUUGAGCAGUUGCUAAAUCAGCCCUGCCCAAGACAUGGGACGCGGGAAAGACCGCCUGGCCACCUCUGGAAGGAUUGCUUCAUUAUGAAGAGGUACAAAAAAUCCAAUCUUUUUCAAGACGAUCAUGGGCCGGGUGGUGGUUCAGGAUCCGGCUCUCAUGGACCGGGUUAUGGCGGUGGCGGUUCUAGCUCUGGAUUCCAAGGUAAUCAAGGCAACCAAGGCAAUCAGGGUGGCUACCAUCAACAAUCAGGUCAAGGGAAUCAACAGCAGCAAUCUGGGUAUCAGAGCAACCCAAAGCAGUUGAAUAGUGGGCAGUACCGCAUCUUCACCACAAGUUUGUGCAAACGGGAUCAGAAGCUUCAUAAAAGGGCGGUGAACACCGUUGAACCGGCAGUUCCCCGUUACUUGCGCUGGUCUGAGCAGCCCAUUACGUGGAGUCGGGAAGAUCACCCGCCCCGGGUUGAUAAUCCGGGUCACCUGGCGUUGGUGGUCGCAUCUCAGGUCGGAGGGUAUAAGUUCACCAAAGUACUCAUGGAUGGAGGGAGCAGCAUCAAUAUCCUUUAUUAUGAAACUUUCCGUCGCAUGGGGUUGACAGAUAAAAAUCUUAAACCGUCGAACACUAUUUUCCAUGGCGUGGCGCCUGGUAAAUCGGCAUACCCGGUUGGUAAGAUAGGUUUGGAAGUUGCUUUUGGAGAUGAUCAUGACUCUAGGUCAGAGACAUUGACCUUUGAAGUGGUAAAAAUCAAGAGCCCUUAUCAUGCUCUGUUUGGGCGGCCGGCUUAUGCUAAGUUCAUGGCAAGGCCUUGUUAUGUUUAUCUGCAGCUCAAGAUGUCGGGUUACAAGGGGACCAUCAUAGUACAUGGGAGCCGAAAGAUAGCUUUGGAGUGCGAAGAAGGUGAUGUAGCUUAUGCUGAGUCGGUUUGUGCAACGGAGGAGUUAAAGUUUUAUAAGGACAAUGUUGAUCCGGCGGAUAUGACAUCUUUGAAAAAUCCAACUACAGAGCAUGAUCCGGUCUUGAAGUUUAAAUCAGCAGAGGAUACCAAGUUGGUUGAUUUUGUUCGUGGCGAUUCAUCCAAGUAGUUCAGUAUCAGUGCUAAUCUGGAUCCGAAAUAGGAAAGCGUGCUCAUCGAGUUCAUCCGUGAGAACCAGGACACCUUUGCAUGGAAACCUUCUGACAUGCCAGGUGUACCGAGGGAACUCGCUGAGCACACUCUCAAUAUUGAUCCCAAGUUUAAACCGUUCAAGCAGUUUCUUUGUCGUUUCAAUGAAGAAAGGUGUAAGGCCAUUGGUGAGGAGGUAGCCCGGCUCUUGGCGGCUGGGUUUAUUGUUGAGGGUUUCAUCCUGAAUGGUUAGCUAACCCGGUGCUGGUACUUAAGAAGAACGACACUUGGCUUAUGUGUGUGGACUACACAGAUUUAAAUAAGGCUUGUCCGGCUGAUCCUUUUGCUCUCCCUCAUAUUGAUCAGAUUAUUGAUGCUACGGCGGGUUGUGAGCAUUUGAGUUUUUUGGAUGCUUAUUCUGGUUAUCAUCAGAUCAAGAUGGCAGUUAAAGACCAAGAGAAGACAGCUUUCAUAACUCCCUUUGGAGCCUUCUGCUAUGUGUCUAUGCCCUUUGGACUCAAGAGUGCCCAGGCGACUUACCAGCGAUGUGUGCAGAAUUGUCUUCAUAAUCAGAUUGGGCGCAAUGUUCGUGCUUAUGUGGAUGAUAUUGUGGUGAAAUCCAGAAAGAAGGAGACGUUGAUAGAUGAUUUGAAGGAAACCUUUGAUAAUCUCCGGGUUUAUAAGAUGAUGCUUAACCUGGCCAAGUGUGUUUUUGGUGUGCCGAUAGGCAAGCUCUUGGGCUUUCCGGUGUCUAACAGGGGCAUCGAAGCUAAUCCGGAGAAGAUCAAAGCCAUUACUUCUCUGGCUAAACUGGCGUGUGUCAACGAUGUUCAACGACUGGCGGCUCGUAUUGCGGCGCUAAGCCGGUUCAUAAGCCGGAUGGGAGAGAAGGCUAUCCCUCUGUAUCAGAUGAUGAAAAAGACAGAUAAUUUUGUUUGGAGUGAUGCCGCUAAUGCAUCGUUUGAGGACUUGAAGAAGUAGCUGGCUGAGCCACCUGUUCUGGCCGCUCCUGUUGAUAAAGAGCCAUUGUUGUUGUACGUGGCUGCCAAUGCUCGGGCUGUCAGCGUGGCUAUUGUGGUGGAACGGAAGGAGGCAGGCAAGGAGUAUCUGGUUCAAAGGCCGGUUUACUACAUCAGCGAGGUGCUUAUUGAGUCCAAGCAGAGGUAUCCGCACUGGCAGAAACUGGUAUAUGGGGUGUUCAUGGCUGGUCGGAAGCUCAAGCAAUAUUUUUUGGGUCAUCCCAUCACUCUGGUUAGUUCUGCUCCUUUAGGGGAUAUUAUUUAGAACAGAGAAGCCACAGGUCGGAUAGCCAAGUGGGCCAUUGAACUUGGACCUCACGGUUUGAAAAUAUAUGCCUCGCACGGCCAUCAAGUCUCAAGCACUGGUGGAUUUCAUCAAUGACUGGACAGAGCCGCAGAUGCCUGAAGAAAAGCCAGAUAACACGUAUUGGACUAUUCACUUUGAUGGGUCCAGGCAAUUGGAGGGCUCGGGGGCUGGAGUUGUGCUAGCUUCCCCUCGAGGUGAUAAAUUUUGUUAUGUUCUUCGGUUGAUGUUCCCUUGUACUAACAAUGCAGCUGAGUAUGAGGCCUUGCUCCACGGUCUUCGGAUGGCUAAAGAUAUGAACUUAAGCCGGGUAAGGUGCUUUGGCGACUCAGACUUGGUAGCUCAACAAGUUUCUGGUACUUGGGAUUCUAAGGAUCCACUCAUGGCGACUUAUCGUCGAGAGGUUGAUGUUAUUGCGGGUCACUUCAAGGGUUAUCAGGUUGAGCAUAUUGAUCGAAGGAAGAAUGAGGCGACUGAUGCUUUAAGCCGGCUGGGUUCUCAACGUAAGCCGGUUCCACCCAAUACUUUCUUGGAUAUUCUGUAUAACCCCUCAGUCAAGUUGCCUACGGAGGAGGAUAUUGCUAUUCCUGACCCAGAAGCACAAUUGGUGGCGGCUAUUCAUGCUAUUCCUGAUUGGACAGUCCCUUAUUUGGCUUAUAUGACCCGGGGCGAGUUACCUGAGGAUGAAACCUUAGCUAGGCAGAUAACCCGGCGUUCUAAGUCAAUGAAAAUUGUCAAUGGAGAGCUACAUCACUGCAGUGUUACAGGGGCCUUUCAACGUCGUGUUUCUCCAGAAGAGGGCCGUGAGAUCCUGCGUGAGAUUCAUGAAGGAGACUGUGGUCAUCAUGCCGGUUCAAAGUCUCUCGUGGCUAAAGCUUUCGUCAUGGAUUUUAUUGGCUGACGGCUCAUGCUGAUGCUGAAGACCUGGUCAGUAGGUGCGAUGGAUGUCAGAAAUUUUCACGACGAGCCCAUGUGCCGGCUCAAGAAUUUAGGAUGAUUCCAAUUACUUGGCCGUUUGCAGUUUGGGGGCUUGAUAUGGUUGGACCUUUCAAAAGGUCCAAGGACAAAAAGACACAUCUCCUGGUGGCGGUUGACAAAUUUACAAAGUGGGUUGAGACCAAGCCAGUCAGUAAAUGUGACGCGGUGACGACGGUUCAGUUCAUUAAAAAGGUGAUUUUCCGUUUUGGCUUUCCCCACAGUAUCAUAACUAAUAAUGGCACUAAUCUGUCCAAGGGUGCUAUGAAAGAAUUUUGUCAAUGUGAGCAUAUCCGGCUUGACGUGUCGUCAGUGGCUCACCCCCAAUCUAAUGGUCAAGCUAAGAGAGCCAAUCAAGAGAUCCUGAGAGGCAUCAAGCCUUGGCUUUUGGUUCCCCUACAGAGGACGUCGGGUUGUUGGGUGGAGGAGUUACCUUCCGUGUUAUGGAGCAUUAAUACCACCCCAAUAGAUCUACGGGUUACACGCUCUGUUGGAAAAGGCAGUGCCUAGGAGGUGCUUAGGCACGCCUAGGCGCUAGGCAAUGGCCAAACGCCUCGCCUAGGACAUAAAUGGAGGUCUAGGCAGGGCAAGAAAGGAAUUGCCUACCCAAGAAAGAAAGCAUGCCACGUACUACACUGAUAUGCCAAACGGGUUAUAUUCCAAUGGAAGUAGACGGUAAUUAACUUAUUUAUAUGCCCUAAACUAAUAUCAACACCCAUAUAAUAAUCACAAAUGCACUAUGAGUAAAAACUAUAUCACCGUCUCGGCCGUGCCUAGGGCGCUUAGGCACCGCCUAGGCACUAGGCGAAGGCCAACCGCCUCGCUUACGCCUACCGCUUUUUCCAACCUUGUUACACGCCCUUCUUCAUGGUUUACGGAGCAGAGGCGGUUCUCCCUAGUGACAUCCGUCACGACUCACCGCGUGUGGCGGCUUAUGUUGAAGCUGACAAUGAAAAGGCACGUCAGGAAGCACUUGACCUAUUAUAUGAGGAGCGUGACAUCGCGGGGGCUCGUUCGGCGAUCUACCAGCAAGAUCUGCGCUGUUAUCACAGCCGCCGAGUUAAAACCAGAACUUUUCAAGAAGGUGAUCUGGUGCUCCGGCUUAUCCAGGAUCAAACUGAUAUGCACAAGUUAUCCCCACCUUGGGAAGGACCUUUUGUGGUCAGUAAGAAUCUCAACAAUGGGUCCUACUACCUUAUCGAUGUUCGAGAGCACAAAGACUCAUGUAAGUCGAAGGAGGAGACCCACCGGCCAUGGAAUAUUGCUCAUCUUCGGCCUUACUACACCUGAGCCACUGGUUCUUAUGAUGUACAUAUUUUGACAAUGUAUAUAUUAUGAUCAAUAUAAUAAAGCCGGCAUCCCUGUUAAAGCAGGGCCUCUAUCGUUUUCUCUUUAAAUAACGAGUUUUUUGGUCACUUGGGGGCUUCUGCUUUAUAAAGCGAAGUUAGGAUUACCCUUUGAUCUGGCUUAUAGGCCAUAUAUAUAUAUAACUUGGGGGCUUGCUACCCAGGUUAAAGGGACCAAAGAGAGUCUGUUGCAAAGGCACAACUCAAAAAUAUUGCUUGGGGGCUCUUUGUUCUAAAGAACAAGAGUUUUUAUGACCCUUGUAAUAGGCUUAAAAGCCAGGCUUGGAAGCCAGGUGUAUUCACCCAAAACCCCGGGUUAUCCUGCCUUUUUAAGUCUGCCACUCCGCCCAGGUAAUCCUGGAACGAUCCGCCGUACUUUUGACAAGUCAAUCUUAUACAGACCCUGAACUUGUCAAAGUUAAAACAAUGAUUGGUUGUGUGAGGUCCUGUUUAUAAGGUUUGUAUAAAGGUUUAACUCGGUGGCUGUGCGGCCCAUGAAAGUACUUGAGUUUUAGGCCUGGCCGCCUAUGAAAGCCUUGAUUUUUGUUGUUGUUUGAUUUGAACAUUUUUUGAGGUUUUUUCUCAUGUGACACAGUAAUACAUGGUUAAAAAGCCGAUCAGGGCUGUGAUGCCUUAUGGUUUAUAAAUGGAACUACCCGGUGUUUAUUAACCCGGCCUGGCUUUCGACUAUAAGUCGCCAGUAUGAGAUAAGAUAAUAUCCGGUGUUUAUUAACCCGGCCUGGCUUGUUCAUCAGCCGGCAAUAUAUGUGCUCAAAAUUCGGGUUAUCACCCUUACUGCACUGGUUUGGUAAACCACCAGUGUGAUCAAAUAUCACAGGUAUGAUAUAUUUUUAAUUAUGUAUGGUUAUAAUUAAGGCCAGCCUUGGUUAUAAACUAUUUUAGUUUCCCAUGGCUUUAUAUUGGACGUUAUGACCCGUCCAGCGGUAAACUGCCAGGACACUUUUAAUCUGUUGUAUGCAGGAACAGAUUCAACAUUGUUAAUAUCAUAAGCAUACGUGGCAUAUCUUAACAUGGCAAAUCAUCAGUGUCAUGCAAAGCAAAUAUGCGCGAUGGCAUAGCAGAUCAAGAGUUUAAGCUAGCCUAUUACAAGGCGUUUGGUGCCCAAAAGAAUACUUGUUUUAACAAGUCUUGCAGAAAGCAGAUGUUCAGCCAGCCUCCGGUUUAUGAAUCUUAGCCUGGUUGACUUGAAGGUUGUGGAUCAUCCAGCGCUGGUUCAUCUUCCUCUUCUCUACCCAGUGGCUGGAAGUCAAUAGUUGUCCAAUCGAUUCCAGUUAAGGCUUUGAAAGCAGCUUCAUCACUUAUAAGUGUGGAGGGGUCAAUAUCAGGAGCAUAAGUAUGCUUACGGAUUGGAGGAGUAAGACUUGGAGAAUCAUAAGCUGGCGCUUUAACUCUCUUGUUGUUGGCAUCAUAAAUCGACUGAUAAUGUGAAAGAUCGGUCUCUUCAGCCAAUUUGCUAGCCAAUGGGCGCAUUUCCCUUGUCAGGGCUCCGAGGUCAUCAAUAUUAAAGUCUGACCCGUCCUCCUUUAUGCUCGGAUAGUCGUUUCCCAAAUCGGCCGGAUCAAGAUCAGAUAUCCAUGCUUUUGCCCGAGUUAGUGCAGUAAGAGCACCCGCCCUGGCAGCUGAUUUCUUUAGUUCUUCAAACCGGGCAGGCAUCAUCGCCAGCCUUUCCAACGUCUCCUUGAUCAAGGUUGGGGGCGGUUUGUUAUGGGAAGCUGUGUAGAUAACCCGUUGUACGCCGGUAUAUAACUGCUCUAUAAGCGUAUAGGCGACUUUCUGUUUUUGCCGCAUAUCUGAGCCAAGAUGAGAAUGCGGGUUCCUGCAUCAUCAAAACGUCUGUAAACCGGAAGUUUAUUAGAUAAUACAUGUUUAAAGCUUAUGAAGAAGCUAUUUACCAAAAACGGCAGCAGUCAUGGCAUUUAUUUGCUGUUUCAAGCCAGUCAGCUCCUCCGCUAUCGGAUUAAGGGCCGCUUCAGCAUCCUCGGCCCACUUCAGCAGAGUUGACUUUUCUGUAUCCCAACCUGCCCGCUUGUUUUUGAAGCUUUCCUUCAGUUUUUUCAUUGCUGCUAAGGCACUGGUCAGUUCAUCCUUGGCCUUGGAAGUCUCUACUUGUUGCGAUUUGAUAUUUUCUUGAAGGUCGGUGAUUUGGGAUUCCUUCUUGAUAAGCUCAACCUGCAAGAGACAAGCAAUUUAUGAGACGACAGUGCAUAUUCAAAGUCCCAAGCACAUAACAAGUAAUAUACUUGGCACUUGGGGGCUAAUGUCUAUUGCUUCUUAUAAACCUUUUUACAAGUCCCAAGCCUAAUACAAGUAUUAUUCUUCACACUUGGGGGCUAAUGCAUGUUUGCUCAAGACUAUGGAUUGUUAUUUUUUCCAACCAUCAAUUAGGUGCUAAACCGGUUUAAGAAGGUUCUAAGAGAGAAUUUUGGGUCUUACAACAUCAUUUGUCUCAACUUAACAUAUUUGUUAAGUCGACCCUUGGGGGCUACACAGGCAAAUUUGAAGUCUUAUUAUUCUAAAGUCCCGGUUCAUAUUGAAGGGAUAAACCGGCCCUUGGGGGCUACACAGGCAAAUUUGAAGUGUUGUUGUUCUCAAAAGUCCCGGUUCAUAUUGAAAAUAUAAACCGGCCCUUGGGGACUACUGGAGUUGAUCUAUAUGGUUAUUGGAAGUUUCAGUGCAUUCUACUCUCUUAUGUCCAAUAAACUUGGCGGCUAAGGGAAGUAUAUUCAUACAAAGUCAACAGAAUUUACCUCAUACCGUUCCUUCGUCAGAUUUACUAAACUGGCUUCAUAGUUACGACUUGUAUACAGACGGUUUAAAAAGCCAGAAUGAAUAUCUUGGGAGCUGAGGUGGGCAUAGCUUUCCAAGUCUACCUUCCACUUGCCUUUAUCAACAGCAGAAAUUUCUUCUUUGGCGUUGUGUUUUGACAGAACAGUGGGGUUACCCGGGGCUGUAUAGCUAACACCAGUAACCACAACGUCGUCAGUCUUGUCAUCAGCAGCUUUAGUUGGGCUUGGCGAUUUAUCAGCAUUGCUCAUCGGGUCGACUCCCAUAGGCUCAGCAAAGACUGCAUGAUCUUGCGGUGGUGGAUCGUUAGGAGUGACUUCAGCAUUUGGAUUAGAAGGUUCCGGGGUUCUUUUCGGAUCAGAUGGAUUCAGGUCAUCAACCGGUUUAUUCAGUUUGGCCUUCUUGCUGGGUCUGGCCUGGGCCCUAAAAAAUGAGACGCAAAUAACAGGUUAGUAUAAUGAUCAAACAUAAGACAUAAGGAGUCAAAACAACAUGUUUACCCAGGAACAAUUUUGAGGGUUGGAAUUUGUGUUCCUGUUGACUCGCCAGAGGAGGAAUGAGAGGUCCCCUGAUAGUUUGAAUCAGACGGGUUAAGAGGUUGUCGAAAAUAACCCGCCUUGGGGUAAAGUAUGUCAGAAAUAUGUAAGACCUCUGGACGGCGUUUGCGAAGUGGAGUGUUUGGUAAAUCGACAGAGGUGAUCACGUUGUCGCUAUGCCGGGUCGUGCGGCGAGCUUCAUGUUGCUGUUUCUUCAAAAGAAAGUUUGGAUCCAAGUGAGCUAGAGGGUGAGAAAAUCUUACUUUCCGGCUUGCUUGACGGGUUUUCUGUGUUGGCAGAGGUUCUGAGCCGGAGGAAAGAAUAAUUACCUCUGCGUCACCAACAUGGCUAGCCUCUGCAUCAUCCUGAUAAUAGUCAUUGUCAAUGAGAUGUAUGAAAAAGGAGCCAAGUGAAUCAUGUUCUACCUCUGACUCAUGAUUAUCAUCGUCAUUGUCAAUGUUUAACUCGGUGGACUCGGCGGUUUUCUUUUUGGUGGGCUUCUUGUUGGCCUCAGUUUUGACACGAGGUGCUUUGGCCGGUUUAUCCUACGGUUUCCUCUUCCAGAAUGGAUCAUCACCCUGUUAAAAAUUGAAAAGAUCAUAAGGGAGUAUUAAGAAUAUGGAAUAAGCAGGAGUUGGGCAAUUCUUACAGCUGGCGGUUUAUUUGAAGCGCAGAAAGGACUACGCCCUGUUUUGCUGCACUCGGCCACUGGUUCAUUCAACAUUUUCUUGACGGCUUCAGUAAUUUUAGCGUUAGACAGCUGAAUAUCAGUGUGGCGUUGAGGGUCUUUCACGUCCCCUGUGUAUUCACACAUUAAGCCGGGGCGACGGCUUAAGGGCAAAAUACUCCAAGACACCCAGGAACGGACAAAAUCAACGCCUGUUAAACCGUUUGCCACAAAGGCUCUGAGCUUUGAAAGCUGUGGUGCAUACUUGGCCCGUUCCUUUGCACUAAGUCUUUGGGGGAGUGGAUGUGUACUGGUAAGUCGGUGAGCACGGUAACCUGGUAGAGGAUUCUCGCCAGCUGGAGAUGUAUCUUGGCAAUAGAACCAAGUUUGAUUCCAGUCUUUGGGGUGGCUAUGAUGGUUAGCGUGAGGGAAGCUGACAUCUUUUCUCUUUUGGAUUGAAACCCCACCAAGUUCAGUAUUGGGCCCGUCCACAAAUUCUGUACGGCGGUUUAAAUAGUAGAAAUCUCUGAACAGUUCGACCGUGGGCUCCUCUUGCAGGUAAGCUUCACAGAACACUUGAAAAUUGCAAAUAUUGGAUACAGAGUUAGGUCCAAUAUCUUGAGGGUGAAGUUGGAGGAAAUGAAGCACAUCAUGAUUUUUUUUAUCCGGGAGGGCUGAAUCCUCGACUCAGAUGGUCAACAAAAACGAUCACUUCCCCUUCCUUGGGUUCAGGAGGAUUUUCAGGACCAGGGGCUCUCUAGUGGAUGUUUUCCUUUUUGGCUAAAGCGCCAGUAGCAACACACCCGUUCAGCUCUUCUUCUGUAACCCGGGAUUGAACCCAGUUGCAGGAAUAAAAGGACUUGGCCAUUUAUUCGAUAACCUAGAAGAAGGUUUGUGUCGGUUUAAGAUUCAUGGAUAAUCCGCUAAAGGUCAAAAGGCAGAAAGUGUUGAAGCAUGCAAAAGUGUUAAACUGGAGAUUGACGUUAUCAAGUUGCAGAGAUGAGCAAUUGGCGGUUUAAGAGGGGACUCAUGGUACCUGGCGGGUUAUUAUUUUCUGAGUUAAACCGCCUACACAGAUAUUGAAAGUACAUAUCUGAAGUUGGAAAAUGACUAAGUGAUGAAAAACAGUUUUCACAAAUUGAUAUCACAAUUUUGGAUCUACCGCGUGUCAGAAAAUGAAAAUAUAUUCAAACCUAAAUAUUGGUACUUGAACAGUUUAUAAAGGUCCAGAUUGGAUUCUCUACCUAAAAAGAGAUGCUCUGAUGAGGAAAGGACUAUGGCUAUUGCCGCACAGGAAAAUAUCAAGUUUGAAUAAAAAAAUUCAUGCUACAGUGAAGAACAAGUGAAGAACAGUGCUGAACCUCCAUGAGCUCGUACGAACCCUAAUGAGAUCUACGGAGGGGGAAGGAGGAAGAACUUACCGAGGCUGCUGGAGCGGCGGAGGCGUGCGAGCGAGAUCUGGACUAAUCAGGUUGAUGCAGCGGCCAAUGGUGAUGCAGAGGAGAGGAUAGACGGCGGCGGCUGGGCUCGAGAGCAACACGUCGCGAGGAAGAUGAUGAAGACGAAGAGGCUGGGGAGAAAGUGAAAAGGACCCCUGGCCCUAUUUAUAAGGCGAAUGGAUAAGUGGCAUGCGCGGGAAUCGAGGAGCUACAAAUUGGAUACGUAACAGGGCCGACGCCUCGAUUUUCGGAGGUUCAUUAAAAAUGAGGAUGUAUAUAUGAUUUUGGAUUUGUAUAAAAUUAAUGGCAGGUGACGUCAUGGCGGGUUAUCAUGAUCUCAGAAGAUGACGUCACGACGAGUUAUAAGCUUCGCGAAGGCAAUGAAGAAGGAACUUUUCUAAGUGUUGAAGAUUGACAUGAACAAGUUCAAAUCAACCUGGGGCCUAAUGUUGGGGAUAUAGCUACUGAGUAUAAACCGCCCGGGAGGGGCCGGGUUAUGCUCAUGGUGAUUUACCAGUAUUGAAGCCCAUGAAGACAUAGAAGAUGGCGACUUACAAAGGAGACUUAAUAAGAAGGCCCGAAGCCCAAAGGCGGGUUAGGGCCCAUAGAUGUAAACCGUCGUAGGUGUAUGACUUGUAUUAUAAGAUAGGAAAGAGUGGAUACCGAGCCGGACACGUUUAUGAGCCGGACGGGAUUCUGUGAACCGCCGGGCAUCAACCUGUGUAUAUAAAGGGAUGACCCGGCGGCGGUUUAGGGACAAGAAACAACAGAUCGAGAGCCAGGCUAAGCGUAUUCGCUCCCUGGUCAUCGAAACCCUAGCAAUACCACCUCACACUGGAUUAGGCCUUUACCUUCACCGCAAGGGGCCGAACCAGUAUAAAUCCCCGCGUCCUUUGUCCCGAUUAAACCCUCUAAGCUAAUCUCAUUGCGAUGGCUUCACGACUAAGUCCUCACACUAGGACAUCUGCCGUGACAAACCCACGACAGUUACGGUGGGUGGUCGGGGGCCGAGCGCUGCGUGUUUCUCUCGUACACGUACGCGCGUGUGUGCGAGGCGUUGGGCUCUAACUGAACCCGAGCGAGGCGUUGAUCCUAACUGAACCCGAGCGAUUGCACUAGCUAUGUUACUGAACCCCGAUCGAUCCCUUGCUGUUAACUGAACCCGAGUGAUUCCUUCGCUACUGCUGCUAACUGAAGCCGAUCGAUGCUGCCUCUGGAUGAACAGUGAGCGUUGUUGGGGGGGGGUUGGAUGAACAGUUCCCGGUGGGGGGUUGGAUGAACAGGACCCCGUGGUAGUAGAGGCCGUUGUCACUGGAUGAACAGGACCCCGAUCGAGCCGGUUGGGGGUGGAUGAACAGGACCCCGUGGAGGGCUGGAUGAACAGGACCCCGUGGAGGGCUGGUUGAACAGUAGCCCGUGGAGGCGUGGUUGAACAGGACCCCGUGGAGGUGUGGUUGAACAGGACCCCAUGGAGAGGGCUGGUUGAACAGUAGCCGGUGGAGGAGCGGUGGAGGCUGGAUGAACAGGAGCCCAUGGAUGAACAGUCGCAGGUGGAGGCUGGAGGAGGUCGACGGUGGAUGAACAGUAGUCCGUGGAGGCUGGAGGAGGUCGACGGUGGAGAUGAAAAGUAUCCCGUGGAGUCUCGUUUUGCGGUACGCCACACCCCUCCCGAUCAACAGGACCCCGUUUCGACCAUAGGAGGUCCAAGAGAAGUCCGUUUCCUCCGUUUUGCGGUACGCCAGACCCCUCCAGAUGAACAGGAUCCCGUUUCGACCAUGGCCAGUCGAACACAAGGCCGUUUCCUCCGUUUCGCGGUACGCCAGGCCUCAUUUCGAUCGGCCGUUCCGUCCAAGUCGGUUGGCUCCCGAUGAACACGACGUAUUCCGUUGCCUCCCGAUGAACACGGCGCAUUCCGUUGCCUCCCGAUGAACACGACAACGAUGCAGUUUCUCCGUUCCGACCCAGCCAUGUACACGAGCCCUGGCCGUACGUAUGCGCGAGUAGGCGUUCGAGACCCCGCCCGUAUGUACGUAUGUGGCUAUAUUUACUUUCUUGCACCCUGGCUGCUGUACGUACAUGUACACGAUAUUAACGGGACUACGUGACAUGCUACGUGCGUGCCUCUACUACGACAUGUGCGCGCCUCUACUACGACACGUGCCCUUCCUUACACGGCCACGGUUCAUCGUUGCAGCCUGCCGACAGACCGAUCGACCAGUAUGUAUGUACACGUUCACGACCAGAAUGACAACGUUACGUACGCUUCGACCAGGUGGGUCCCGACUAUCAAGCACUUCCUUGUGUGCGAAGAUGUAGCUGGUAGGUCCCAGCAGUCAGGGGGCGAAUCAUUUUUUUGCCCGUAAUAUGGACGCACUUCCUUGCGUGCGAAGAUGUAGCUGGUGGGUCCCAGUAGUUAGGGGGGAAACGUUUUUUUCACGAAAUACGGUGGCCCGUCCUGUGGGUCCCUGCUGUCAGGUGGAUGAAUCAUUUUUUCCGCGUAAUAAGGAGGCACUUCCUUGUUGCGGGCGUGGACCCACCUGUCAGCCUCUCCAUGUACAGUAAUCUUCCGAUGGAAGUCGUUCCUUGACCACGUUGAGCACGCCGCGCCGAGAGCACCAGGGCGGUGGACAACGGCGAGGCCUAGGAAGGGGACGACGCGGAGCCGGGAAAGACGCGGCAGUGGAUGCCCACGUGGAGAGGAGUAUGAGGGUUCACUGGUUCGGCUGCGGUGUGAGGCUGCCGUCGCCGCAGGGCCUGGCCAGCGGUGGGAAUAGUAGGGGGUGGUGAGGCCUCCGCGGCAGCACAGCCGACCACGGGAGGCAGGAGCAUGCGGCACGAACCGUGCUGGUUUGGGCGGCUGGAGCAAGAAGACCAGAGGUUGAAGAAGCACUACAGCCGUUGGAUGGACAUCAUACGGUCACUGGAGCUAGAAUCGUUCAUAUUGACUAAGUUGACAAAGCCCUCUAUCCCCGUCAACUUAGUAGGCCCACAAGUCAGCCUCACACUAUGGUGGGUCCCAGCUAGCAGGGGGAGUAUUCAUUUUUUUGUGCGUAAUAAGGAGGCACUUCCUUGCGUGUGAAGAUAUAGCUGGCGGGUCCGAGCUGUUAGCGGGGGGGGGGGCAUUUUUUGCGAAAUAUAGAGGCCCUUCUGGUGGGUCCUAGCUGUCAGGUGGAGGAAUCAUUAUUUUGCGCGUAAUAAGGAGGCAUUUCCUUGUGUGCGGCCGUGGACCCAGCUGUCAGCCUCUCCACGUACCGUUCACUUCCGAUGGAUGUCAUUCGUUCACCACGUUGACCAUGCCGUGCCGAGAGCACCAGUGCGGUGGACGACGGCGAGGCCUAGGAAGGGAAUGACAAGGAGCCGGGGAAGACGCGACAGUGGAUGCCCACAUUGAGGGGAGUAUGAGCGCUGACUGGUCGGCUGCGGGGUGAGGCUGACGUCGCCGGAAAAUAACAGGAUGUGCGGGUGGGUAGAGGGAUGGCCUGGCGGCAGCACAGCCGGCCACGGGAGGAGGGAACAGGCAGUCCCACCGGCGCUGGUUUGGGCGGCUGGAGUAGGAAGAUCAGAGAUUGAAGAAGCACGGCAGCCGUUGGAUGGACAUCCAACAGUCACUGCUCUGUGUUGACUAAGUUGACAAAGCCUUGCGUACGCGUCAAAUUUUUUCUAGGACAGCGUCAUCAUGAACCUAGUAGGCCCAGAAGUCAGCCUCCAAAUCUAUGGAAAAAAGCAUACAACCCAUUAGCCAUUACUUUCAAUAAUUUACAGCCCGUUUGCUAAUUCUUAAGGAUAUUUUGAAGCCCAUAUUCUUUUUAUUAGCAUUAUAGACCAUAUAUUCUGGGCACUGCUAAAAAAUUCAACGAAAAUUUUCAUAUUUUGGUGGGGUCCGAACUCUUUUAAUCACGAAAUUUUGAGUCACUUUAAAAAUAAUUUAAAAAAAAUUAUAUCAAAAAAAAUUUCAAAAAAAAUCUCCGCCAAAAAAUGAAUGAAAUUUAAAAUAUUUACUAGCAAGAUGCCCGUGAGUUGCAUGGAACAUGAAGAUGCAUUUGUAUGAGUAGUCAGCCUCUCCACGUACAAUCAUCUCCUGAUUCCUCUCGGUUGUUGACAAUGUUGACAACGCCAGAUGACGGCGGGCACAGCGAGCGAACCAAGGCGGAGAACGACGGCGAGGCAUCGGACGGGAACGAACCGGAGCAGUGGAAGGUGCGGCAGUGUAGUGGCAGGCGGAGGGUAGUACGAGGGCAACAACAUGUAACUGAAGUUUACAAACAGUACAAAAAGCCCAAGGAUUAAUUGUUCAUCAAAUUUAGACAAGACCCAGAUUGAACAUGGCAAUAACAUCUAACCCAACCACUCUUUUUCGUAGUCACAAACAAAUGGAUCGGUCUGAUCCAUAAAAUCAACAUCCUGUGCAAAAAAAUUAUUGGAGGAUGACUACAAGUUGUUGUAAAUAGAAGCCGAGCAUGUUCAGAAGCCCAUUUGUCCACCUGAAACUUCUUUUUUUGCUGUUCAACAUGUCCGUCCGUGAGAAAUCUCUUUACGAAAAACUUAAGCCUCAUGGACAAUAGUAACCUCGCAUUCAACAGGAAGAAUGUGACAAAGCUUCUGUUUGCUUGGUUGGAUGCAUAUCCAUCCAUCGUUAUUGUCCUCAAACGAAUGUCAUGAGAACUGAGAAAAUCCUGGUGCUUAUUACGCCACCGAUUGGUUAUACGUUUUUCUCCAUGUGGUAGCAGUGCCUAAGUAGACAUGAAGAUUGAAAAUAGUUAUGGUCUGAAAAAAGAGUAUGUCGAAAGAGCGACAGCUGAACGGUUAAUUCUAGUACAAUAUAUACGGGCUUUCAAUGUGCAUGAAAUCGUCACCUUUCUAUAUAAAUUCUCCAAAGAUCGGAAGCAUCGCAGAAAGCCAGUAAUUAUAUUCAGAUCAAAACUAAACAUUCCGAUAUAUAAGAUCUUGACAGAAUCCAGCAGCAUUGAUAGGCUAUCCAUGGAUGAACUCUUCAUUGAGCAUAUAACAUAAUAUUAGUACCCAAAGUGUACUCCAAGAUGAUAUAAAACUUAUGCGCACAAAUGAAAAAUGCAGCUUAUGAUUACAAAUGUGUAGAUGAUAAUAUACCGUACCUGAAAAAGUGAGGAGCCAAACACCAACUUCCUGUGAUCAUUAAACGGAUCACGAAUUACACCCAAGGUCUCCAGUUUGGGCGCAGAGACGACAGUUAUUUGCGAAGGUUUUAUAACAAUCAUCAAGGAGCAACCUUUGAAGUGAAGGGGCAUCUUCGAUGAUGAGUUGCUGUCCUUUAAAACAAAUUCCAAUGCUUUUAAGGUGAGGCGACUUUAUUUGGAGACAACUGAUAGGGAUUUCUGUUCCCAAAACAAUCAGCAAGCGCUCCAGGGCAGGUCAAUUGGAGUGGAUGAUGCUGUGCAAUGAGGCCUCGGACAGAUAAACCACCACAAGCGAAAGUUUUUUUAGCAGUGGGAGUCGAAGCAUUUGUACCAGAUCAUGUGGUAGAUGGCACUGGGCGAAGGUGGCGGUGUGGAGAGAGGAGGAAAACUACGAGAUGGACAACAGUGGUGUGGGCACAAAUUCUUGGUGUGUUCGUGGUACGAAACUUUCAUGGUAAUGGUAGAACUCAAACUGCUGGAGUUUUCUGAAUUCAGGGGAUGUCAGCCAAGCGUCCACCGUGUAAGGUAUUGACAAUAGGUAAUGUGUCAGGAUGCAGAGGCGUUGAACAAGGCCCUGCUGGUGAGAGGAGACGAUGGCUCUAAGGAGAUGAAAUUCAGGAAGGACAGAAAUCUGACGACAGACGAGAUUGAGGGGCGCGGUGCGCCAUAUCGGGCGCCACCGAGUUGAGAGGACUUGUGUGCGGCAGCAAUCCUUGGUGGGGAGAAGCGAGAUGAUCUCCUCGAGGAUGACGUCCGGGAGAUUGCUGAUGCGGUCCACCGGAGAUUCUACCGGUUCCUCAGAUCCGGGUGUGGAGGGGGGGCUCGCUGCCUCUCCCCGCGCUGCCGGGUGCGGGAUCUACAACCGGCGUCACCGCUGGUGAGAGCCUCAUCUUCUUGGCGCUGGGGCCAGCCGACUCCAUUUUCCUUGCAGGCGUCGCGCCGAGCUCACGGGUUUGAGCAGAGUAGCCAGAGACAAGCCUAGUGGCAGUCCGAGUGGGGAAGGAGGGUUGGGGUUUUUUGUAUGAGUGGAAGAAGAGGAGCAGUUGUUUUCUAUACGAGUGAGGUAGAAGGUGAGCAUGAGUUUUCUGGACGAGUGAGGAAGAUGGGGAGCAGGGGGAAUUGGGGCGAGACAGAAGCGGGAGAGCGAGUUGCAGUAUAAGUGGAAGCGAGGAGGAAGGAGGGUUUUUCUGGGAUCGCCCCCUCUUCAAGAAAUAUGGGCUUCUUCUUGCAAAAAACAAAAACAAAUGGGCUUUAAGAUGGAUAGGCUUUUGUAUCGGCCCAGUCGGCUGCCCGUGUUUCGUACUGGAGGGCCUUGUGCUAGAGGCAGCCCGAGACACUCUCCAGCUUAUUGCCCAUUCGAAAGAAAAGAAGAGACGCCUCCAGCUUAUGGCUACUCAUCGGUAACCUUUUUCAACUUGGCAUCCACCAAAUUAGAGGAUGCGGUACUGGAUGCAGACACUCACACUGGUCGCGUAGCGCGGCAAAGUGAGGUGUCAACUAACAGGCCUACAAUAUACUUACUAGAUUGUGAAGGUUCACAUGCUAGUCAACAUUCACAUUAAACUAAGCUUCAGAAGAUACGGUAUGCAUACUAACAUUCAAAAGAACAAAAGUUCAGCAUGUUUAUGCAUCUCAAUGAUUCACCAUACUAUAACCAAUACAAAGGUGUAAGAAGGUGUGGAAAUAAAGAAAAUCGGUCGAUGCUUCUUUGAGAAAAGGGCCUCCCUGCGCACGCAUUAAUUUCCUGGGCAUGCUUGUUUCUUCUCAAUGUUGCGAGCACUUUGAGCAUGUUGGCAACUCCACAACUAGCUAGCUGCCUCAUCUUGCAAUUGAUGCUGACACAUUUGCAGAAAACACAUGAGGCAAUAGAGAUGACUCAAUAUGAGUCCAUAUUGUGCAGUUCCCCUGAAAUCAUCUUCAUUGUCCUGAAUCUGAAAAGAUAGGAAAACAAUAGCUAUACUUAAACGGUGUUGCAAAACAUUAGCACAUAUCAAUAGCUCGGCAUGACAAAACACGAUCAUCUGGACGAAGGGGAUACUGACCUGCCUAAGGAAGAUUAUAUAUAAUUUCAUAAGUCCUUAGUUGAUUUCCACCUUCGGCUGCACUGCUUGUUUGCUCCUCCACACAUGACAGGAUCAUCCGGCACUGCAAUCAGCAAGUCAACGUAUGAAUAAGCUUAUUUCAUCUUGCGGUGGUCAUUGUACCUAGUUACGAAUGUAGGAAUACCUGGAGCACCAUGAAGUUAGCUGACAGCAGGUAGAUACAACCAUAUAAUUUUGUGCGGUGCUACCAAAAUUGAGGUUUGUAUCCCUUCCCGUUAUGAGAAUUCUUCUUGAAGUUGGUAGAAUGUGAUGGCUUGUUCUUUGCAUCAAACUUGCCUUUCCCCUGAGAUUUGUUCUUGUUGUUUUGGGGCUGGUUGGGCUGGAAGUUCUUCUCGUGUACCAUGUGGGCACUAGAAGCUCCCUCAACGACCCGAGCACGUGUGUAUUUUUCUCUCGCCUUCUCUUCAAAAUCAAGAGUGCUAAUGAGAUCCGAAACGGAAAACUCAUGUCUCUUGUUUUUCAGAGAAGUAGCAAAAUUGUUCCACGAAGGUGGAAGCUUGGAAAUGAUGGUCCCAACAACAAAUUUGUCCGGCAACACACACUUAAAGUACUCAAGUUCCUUAGCGAGUGACUGUAUCUCAUGAGUCUGCUGAACAACAGAGCGCUCAUCAGUCAUCUUGUAGUCACAGAAUUGCUCCAUGACGUACAAAUCAUUGCCAACGCCCGAGGCCCCAAACGUGGCCUCGAGCGCAACCCACAUGUCUUUGCCGCUGUCAAACGACAUAUAUGAAUCCACAAUGGAAUCAUCAAGAACACUCAGCAUGGCGGCUUUGAAGAGGGUAUCCAUGUUCCCAAAAGCUUCCUGCUGUGUAGGAUUAAGAUCGCCCUCAGGCUUACCCUUAGUGGCGUCAUAGCAGUACAUGAUCCGAAACCAAUAUACUGCUCUUGUGCGCCACCUUUUAUAUUGCACCCCCUUAAAAGUAGGCGGCUUCAAAAGCGCAGCAAAACCACUCGGAGUAAAUUGCCUAUAAUUAGGUUUUUGGAUUGGGUUGUUGAAUAUAUGAUCAAUUUACUAUGAGAUUUAAUCCGAAUCAACAGUAAAUAGAUCAUGACGACAAUUGCAAAGAUCAAAGUAAUGAUGCGGACUAAACCAGGAGGACAAAAUCACAUACUGUAUAGCGGGAGCAGAACCGCUGUGGUUGAUGUUGUCACUCAUGUCAUUGAUGAAGAGGUUACCGAGGUCGGGGAAGAAGGUUGUCAUUGAGGAAGUCGUCGCUGGCAGCAGUCACAGGAGUGUGCUCCCCAAAAACCUGAUCGCCCCUCUCCCGUACAGGAUCGGGAAAGGCGGGGUUCGGAGGACUGCUGUCCCUUCUCGCGGUGCACGCCGAAAGGAGGGCUGGAGAAGAAUUGUGUGGCGGCGCUAAGAUCUGGAAUGGUGCGAAACCAUAUGAUACAGCGGCAGCCAGGGUAGAGCCUGUCAGGUCGGUCGUGCGAGUAAGACCAAGUAUAAUAGUAGGCCUUUGGCCCAAACCCCACGUCCAAGUCAAUAAUAGCCCCACUAUCCAAAAGAAUCAGAAACGGCUGAGUAAUUAAGGCGUCCGUUAAUUAUUAAUUAAUGACUUAAUAAAUUUUCCGACCAACCAAAAUAUAGACCACGUGCAUAGCUUUUGUCCUUGGACUGGCUCAUUCCCGAAGAGCGUGCGUGUAGGUUUCCUAUUAUCAUGCUCAUGCAAAUGCUAGAAUAGAUCACAUUAUAAAGUGGUGCAACUCACACUCACCUAGCAGUAUGGGACUAAACUUUAGUCUCACUCACACCACACUUAGAGCAUGGUUAAUAGUAUAGCCAACAUCCGGCUGUAUGAAGUUGACACAUCAUCUAGAACCAACCUAAUAGCCUGCUAGUACAAUAGUUAGUCCCUUUAGUAUAAUACUAUAUCAUUAAUAAUGGCCCCACCUUUUGUCUCACAAAGUAUGUUGGAGCUCCUGCUACAACCGGCUACAAGUUUACAACCCGCUUCUCUUCUCUCUCCUCUUCUCUCUCCUUCAACUAAGCACAAAUACUAUAUUUAAAUCCUUAUAGCCUGCUUAUGUCAUCUAAGAGCAAGUAUAAUAAGGUGACGUAGGCGGGCUGUAAGAUUUUAAAUAUUACUCCUAUAUCUUUGCUGAGUUGGAUGAAAGAGAAGAGGAAAGAGAAGGUAAGCGGGCUGUAGAUUUACAGCUGGCUGUAGCACAGGCUCCAAGAAACUAUGUGAGAGUGUAUGAUGGGCCAUGUGGUAGAAAAGUAGUACUUUCUUGUAGCCCACUACUAUACAUGUUGGUUAUUACAUUGGCUAUAGACGACAUGGCAACAUGUUAUAGCCAUCAAUCGGCUAUAUUAUUAGCCAUGCUCUAAUUGUAGUACUUGCUCUAAAGUUACUCUCCACUGUGUAGUCUGAAAUGUCGGGCGUGCAGCGGGCGGUGCCCUCGGUCGACGCGCCGCUUCAACGGCGGAAGCAGUGAGAGGUUGCGUCGCCCUGACUUGCCAUCAAUGUGGAGCGGCGGGCUCAGCUCGCGCCGGGCGGGAAGCGCUCGGGGGAGGGGGAGGGGUUUUUGGUGGGCCAAGAAGGUGAGAAGCAAACUUGGGAUCGGUCCGGACGGGGAAAUAUCAUGUGCUCCCAUACUCACUAGUUUCAUGCAUAUGACACUAGUCUAUGUUACUAGUAACAUACUAAUGUUAUUAUGGCUUCAUUUAUUAGCUUGUAGACUCAUCUUGUCUUGGGAAACGCUAUGUUACAGUAACAUAUUAUGUUACCACUUCUCAUUAACUACUUGGCACAUAAGCAAAAGUUUCUUGGAGUGCGCUAAGUUACUCCCACUAUAACUAGCUGUACAAACUAUGGGCUAUGUAGAGUGCGUAGUAAGCAAGCUUCUCAUCAUUCUGCGAGUUGACAUGACACAUCAAAGUAGUAGUUUUUUUUUCAAAAUGUACAUCAAAGUACCAGUGUAGUAGUCUCCAAAAAGGGCCGACCAUGUCCAUGGCUACCAUCCCAUCCCGUUCUCCGUCAUUGAGUAUGUGCACGAUUCACGUGCCAUUCAAGAAAAAAACUGCGUAUGUUCCAUUGAAGAAGAAAAAUUAAAAACAAACACGCCACGGCGUCAUGGUCGAACUUUGAUUCGUCCACGCGUGGUUCCCGACCCUCCACUAAGUGAACAACUACCAAACGUGUCAAAUUAUCACGUGAGCUGCCUCUUCGUCGAGAAAUGAGCUCCACCGUGUACCCGCGCGCGUGUGUUAGGGAAUGAGGCAUAGAGUACGUGCGUCCGUGUGUGCAAUUUUUCUCUUCGUGCACGUACUCCUUUUUUUGUGGGUGAUUUGUGCACGUACUCGGCCUACGUUGGUGACCGUUGGUGAGUCUCACUUAUCUCUACAUCUCAACAUGUACAUCUACAUCUGCAUCUACAUCUACACUACAUCUACAUCUACCUCUACUAUAGUACAACAAGUUUUAAACAUGAGACCAGCCAUUUUCUUGCAUGACACGACCAACCCGUAUCACUUCUUGCUCCUCGUCUCUCUCAAAGUGCGUCCGACAGGCGAUUUUGCCGUUGAUUGUGGUAGGUUCGCUCACACUCGGUCCCACAUGUUAUAAAUCUAAAAAGAAUACUUUGACCAGCGGACCAUUGAAAGAAGUAUAUUUUUCACCCUCAAAUGUAAGUUGAUGGACAAAUAACCCCCCAAAGUCAAUUUUGGUACAAUUUUUACCCUCAAAUCUCUAAAACCGGACAUAUCACCCCCUUGAGCGGUUUUAGUGUCCACAUGUUAAAGUUUAGACGAUUUUGAUUGUUGACUAGGAAUUGACUAAUUAUUUACACUAAUGAAAUGUCAACGACACCGUCGGAAGCUGCGGAUGUCGUCAGAGAUGUACCCAAUGGACCUCGACCUUCCCUACGAGGAGAGGAGAUCAUGCGGGUGCCUUUCAAGCUCAAGGGGUCGUCGGGCUACCUCGUCGGCUCGUCGCCCGCCUACCUCUGGUCCUCCCAGAGCCUCUAUCAUUGUCGCGCAGCUCACGGUGGUGCUCAUUUGCAGGUGGGUGCUGCUAGCUAGGAGACAUAGUUGAGUUAAUCGAGCCCUACUUGAAAAUCAAUUGUGUCCUUGGCCUAAGCUCCGCCACUACUAGAAGAAAACUCCCGCAGAGGAGGUCGAUGAGAGGCA